This 64594-nucleotide long non-coding RNA is filed under the name Eucalyptus grandis. RNAcentral describes it as "long non-coding RNA (EGRA_LNC002267)". Lineage: Eukaryota; Viridiplantae; Streptophyta; Magnoliopsida; Myrtales; Myrtaceae. The record is from RNAcentral.
GAUGCUCCAUCGUCGGUGGUGUGUUACAUGCGAGAAGCGAAUGUUCCGGAAGACAUCGCUAGGAAGCACAUCAAGGAAUUGAUAAACCAGGAAUGGAAAAGCAUCAAUGCUUAUUGCUUCAGCAAUGCCGAGACGCCCUUUGUCCGAACCUUCAUUGAUGUCACCGUGAACGCGGCUCGCGUUGCGCAUAUGCUUUACCAGUUCGGAGAUGGGUUUGGCGUCCAGGACGGUGAUAUUAGGCGGCAAAUUUUAUCUGCAGUGAUCCACCCUCUCGCUCUUAACUGAGAUAGCGCAAGUGUAAUCACAAAGCAAGUGCGUAAGCUAGACUAGCUGCUGCCGGUCGAAGGAUUUGAGUACUCCACGCAAAUUGUAUCCCAUGCUGCAUAUCGCACAAAGUAACCAUGUGCGUAGUUGGCCUGAUCCACAUAUAUCGCACUAUGAAAAGAAAUACUCGAGAUCGUAAUAAUCUGACCCUUCUCAUCUUAUGCAACGUUGAAUGUUGUAAAUGGCCAGUAAUGGUACAUUAUUUUUUUGCUAGGAUAACAGUCUUUGGUUUACUUCGAAAAUAAUAACUUGUUGUGAGCUAUAAAUAUUUGAUGGAGUGAAUUUUACAACAUUUUAUAAUGAUUUGUUAUUUGAUUUUUUUUGUGAUUCAGAAUAGAUUGUUAUUCUCACAGGCUGUCACCAAAUCAUUUCUCAUUUGUAAACUUCUUCUGUUGCCACCUAAUCAAUAAAACUCGAAGCACACGCUUAUGUCCUUCUCUUGAAUUAGUAAAGCCUCGACCAUGCGUGAUUUGAAAAAUCUUGGUGCUCUCCGGAGGUUAUUUCCCAAGGAGAAAGUUCUUGUUAAGGCGAUAGAGUAUCUCGAUCUACUGUACUAGAAUUGGAUCAUCAGCUGAAUGUGGCCAUGUGACGUGUGGCCCGGCAAUGCAAUGAAUCGGUAGGUCCCCUGACUUUUCUUCAUUUUCAGGCCGUUGCAGUCGCUUAGCCAUCAGUGGACAUGUAUCUUCUUGAAAGGGGUAACCUGGACGCCCGUCGCAAUCCAACGUCAGAUCGAUGUGCAAAUGUUAGUGUGGCACGUCUCUCUCAUGCUCCUAGGACGAUUUUUUUACUUUAGUGCCGACACUCCCACGUGAUGCCCAGACUCAUUCCAACAUUAUCGGCAUGCAUUCGAGAUUAAUUGCAUAACCCCAUUAUUCUAACAAUGAGCAUGCUCUCUUUCAUUGUUUAGAGUGUUAGUUUCUAUCGUACGUCCAAAUCUAUGGAGUAAAACUUUGAGAAAUUUUGAAAGAAUCGAAAACAGUUUCCCGUAUUAUGUCUUGGAAACAUUCGAGAGCAUAAAUUGACAUCGUAUCUCAAAUGCUGAAAUGAAAGGGGAAAAAAGGGAAUGGGACAAAUGCGGAAUCAACACCUCAUUUUUAAAUGAAGAGUGUGAUGAAGAUGGCAUGUGAAUCGAUGCAUGAGGAAUUAUCCACAUGAAAUAAAUUUAAGAUGGAAUACUGCACCGAAACCAUGUUAUUAUAUGUUGAAUUGAAAAGAUUGAACUUUUACUUAAAGUGAGAUGAUAAGGCACGCAAAGAUUCAUUCAUAAUCCCAUAAAUGAGUGAUAUCACGAUCAUGUUUUGAUUAGAGAGAUUCCCAUUAUUUUGGUAGUGCUUUAAUUUUUCAGUUGAGACAAUUAAUGAUCGAUCGAGAAAAGUCAAAACUGACAAACUCGUUUUAUAUCAUUGUUGGUAUGAAAAUGAUUGAACUCUUGGAGUACGGUAUUUGCUUUAAUUGCGUACAUCAAUGGUCAGCGCGUGGUCAUCGACUCAAAUCGCCAUCCAUCGAAUGAAAAAUCACUAUAGACAAGUGACUAACAUGUAGACAAGUGACUAACAUUGCUCGUACGAGGUACGAGGUUAAAAGAUCAUAAACACCUGGAGAAGGUCUCCCGUCGGUGAAAAAUCACUAUCCACUUGUGACAUGUCUCACGUACUUUUUAGGUCCGUGCAUUUAUUCAUCUUGUUUAUUUAGCCUAAUAAGGUUUGACUAACGUUAUAGCCUUCUAAGUUUAGCAUAAUUAAUCACAGGUGUUGCGCCAGUAGCCACUUUUCUCACAUGAAAAAAGAGAGGUGGGAAGUUUUUAGGGAGUUGGGGAUGUGAACCUUUAGUUUCAAGUGUGGAAUUCGACUCCCAUACUCUAUAAAAAGACAUGACAAAAGUCUGAGAGUGUGUUGAGAGUUAGAAUAUGACAUAUAAGAAAAAAGUUUAGCAUAAUCAACAAACCAAAAAAAAAAUAAUAAUCAUUAAUUCCAUUAAUACACACUAACUCGUCAUGAAGAAAAUCCAUAUGUAUGUGUGCGUAUGUGGAAGGUAGAUUGAGUUAUUUUUGUAUGAAAACAAAGUUAGAUUAAAGAUUUUGAAUAAUUCAACUAGAGGGAACAUAGGCACAUAAAUCACAACAAAUUUGGCAUUUAAUAUCAUAGAGUAAAGCAUAGAAACUAAUUUUUCAAUCUAGUGGGAGGCAUGGAUCCUCUACUAGUUUCAUAUUGAAUCAUGCCAAGAAAUUAAUGAAUGAACAAGUGCAUUUUCUUGUGAAAGAACAUGAUAUCAGACAAUAAUAAUCUAGAAAAUUGAAAGGUAAAUGAGACAUCGAAUUUACAUAAUUCGGGGGUGUGAAUUACUUUUGGAAGAGAAGUAUCGAAUUUCAUUAUAGAUCUAGUGAAAGAAUGGACAUUACAAACACAUUUGAGUUACUCAAACGUUUUUAGUAGCUUGUAUAGUGUUUAGCCCUCACAAUUCUUAACGAAACAAUCUCUCAAUCUUACAAAAGAAUACACAAAACUGAUCAAUGACAAAAGGUUUCUCCAAUUUAGGUGCAAAAGUGAACAAAACUCACGAGAAGAAUUUUUUUACCCAUUCUUGGCACAAACCAAGGCACAAACCCCCCCCCCCCCCAAAAAAAAAAAAACAACAACAACAACCUAAUUAGAGAACCUAUAUUAAUCCCAGGAGACCGACUCCAAUACGAACUCAGGUUUCGUUCAAUGGUUUCAAUCUCAAGACAUAUUUAUCAACACAAACAAUGAUUAAUUGUGUACCCACUUUAUUCCCAACUGAUUUCUUAAAUUCGAUUUUUUAGCUAGACGAAUGUGGCUUGCGUUUUGCCAGAUAGGCAUUUGUAGACAUAUCUAGUUUGGUUUGGCCUUACCCCGAACAAGCUUCUAAGAUUUGGUUUCAAGAUAUUUUGACGUGCUCUCAACAUGUGGCCGGAGGCAGGAACUGGUACCGAGGUUGCCGUGUGGGGCUCGUCAUGAGAACUAAAUUGAAACAGUUGCUCUCAAGCCCCAUCAACACGGUGAAGAAAGUGUCGUCCCCAUAGAGGUACUAUGAAAUUGGAUGCAUAUAAGCCACUCAAAGCUCAUGUGUCAUUAUUCCUUGACGGUAAUAUCUUCUGAGUCAUCAGUCAUCGUAGUUCUAAUAUUGAGUAUUAUCAGCAAUUAUUCUCGGUUCUGUCNNNNNNNNNNNNNNNNNNNNNNNNNNNNNNNNNNNNNNNNNNNNNNNNNNNNNNNNNNNNNNNNNNNNNNNNNNNNNNNNNNNNNNNNNNNNNNNNNNNNGUCGCAAGCAAUUUUAUAUAUGUUUCUCCACAAACCUUGUAUAACGUGCUUUCCAAAGAUUCACAAUCAACCAAAGGGUAGCAAUUGCUCGAUCUGACUUUUAUGCAAUAAAAAUGCUCUUCUUGAUUCAAUAUAUAUACAUACAUACUUCAAGACAUGAUUUUAUAAAACCAAAGAAGAUAUAGUACCACUCACCUCGUCGUCGACGACCAAACGACGAACGAUACUCGUAUCGUCGAAUUCAAGGUCCUAUCAAAUAACCGAGAAAAAUGUUAAAAUCUAAUAAAACACUGUCUCUACUUCGAAACAACUAAAUUACGCCUUAACUCUAACAAAAGGACUUCUACGCGCUAACAAAUCGCAUAACCAAAGUGAUUGUUCAAGCCAUUCGCAACACGAAAUUUAAGUGCAAAACUUGAUUGCGCCUUAACUUUCUCUUCCGAACUCCGAUCCAAACGUACUUAUAUUCAAUAGAGAGCCCUUGAAACAUAUCACAAGAAUCCCGACUUGGCCAUCCCAAAAUCAAGCUGAAAAAUGACAAAAUACGGGCCCAAAGCUGCUGGACGCGUACUGUUCACUGCGCGUGGGAAACUUUGAAAUUCUGUUUUGGACAAACCAUAAGCUCAAAUCACGAUCCGUAAAAUCCCACGGCUCCACAACACCCUAAAUUACCAUUCUUGCAAAAAUACGCGGCUCAACGACUCCAAAAUUAGACUUCGCCGCUCAGUUUUCCAAAAUUUUCGAAUUUAAGUCCUAAAUCCAAAAAUUACUUCAAUCGGACAAACAAGGGGCUUGAUCUCUUACCGGGUGCUGUGUUAUGGAGUCGAGUCGGCUUGGCGAGGCAUCCGAGACGUGCACGUGCCAAAAUUCCUUUCCUUUUUUUCCCUUUUUCUCUUCUCCUUCCUCUUCUUCGUCUUUUCUUUCUUUUCUUUUUGGUCGAGGGAACUCUCAGCUUCUAUUUAGCCGAGCCCUCUCCCCUCUCCUUUUUGUUUUACUGACUUUUCAGUUUCUUUUUCAGUUUCUUCUUUUGGGGCCCACUAACAUAAUAUUACAUUAUUGCAUAAUAUUACAGAAGCAAAGUGGGACAAUAUGGGCUACACACCAUCGCUGGAAGAGUACUUGAGCAAUGCGUGGACAUCAUCUUCAGGACCACUGAUCAUGUCUCACGCUAGUUUCUUUGUGGGACAUAUGAAUUGGGAGGAUGUAGCAGAUUUGCUGGAGAGAAACAAGGAUCUGAUUUAUAAUGUGUCCAUGAUAAUUAGACUCUGCAACGACCUUGGAACGUCAACGGUAAUUAUCAAAUUUCUGCGCUGAAGUUAUAAACCAACUGAAUUUGACAUGAUGUUAAGAAUACUUAGCCUGCGAAAAAAAACUCGGCAUAUGGAGUAAUUGAAUCAAGGAGCGAAUCUGAUAAGCACAUUAAAAUGAUUUACUUGUUCAAUUAGGCCGAAAGAGACAGAGGAGAUGCUCCAUCGUCGGUGGUGUGUUACACGCGAGAAGCGAAUGUUCCGGAAGACAUCGCUAGGAAGCACAUCAAGGAACUGAUAAACCAGGAAUGGAAAAGCAUCAAUGCUUGUUGCUUCAGCAAUGCCGAGACGCCCUUUGUCCGAACCUUCAUUGAUGUCACCGCGAACGUGGCUCGCGUUGCGCAUAUGCUUUAUCAGUUCGGAGAUGGGUUUGGCUUCCAGGACGGUGAUAUUAGGUGGCAAAUUUUAUCUUCAGUGAUCCACCCUCUCGCUCUUAACUGAGAUAGCGCAAGUGUAAUCACAAAGCAAGUGCGUAAGCUAGACUAGCUGCUACCGGUCGAAGUGUCACGCCCCGAUCCUCGGGCACGCACACAUCCUUUUCCCUUUGUCGAUUUUAUAAUGCGAUAUCCCAGGACUAGUAUCGCCGACCCUUUCAUUUUUUUUAAGCGCAUGCGGAAGCAGUUAAAAUCCCCAGACAAUAAAACGAUGGGAUAGAAAAGCAGGGCCAUAUUUUUCAUAUUGAAAUUUAUAACCAAACUUUUAUGCAAAUCAUAAACCACUUCAAAACUAUUCACAUCAAAAAGGAGAUCUCAAAAUAAGAUAGGAUCUCAAUCCAUCCAGACCGUACUCAAGGCCCCUCUCGGGACUAUCUUCUUCUUCCAAAAAUCCUUCUCUUCAUAUCUCACCUCCGAGUUCUCCUCCUCGGAUUCCUCCUCCUCAGCUCUUCAGCGGGGUCCUGAAAUGGUUUUCCCCAAACUGGGAUGAGACUACGUCUCAGCGAGUUCUACCCCACUAAGCCCGAUUAGUAAACUAUUAUACUAAAGGCUGCCUAAACACGCACAGGGCAGAGGACUUAUCUUGGCCUCUGAUCCCACCUGCAAGUCAGUACAAUUCAUAAUAGGCACCCAAGCAAUCAUAUCACCGAUCGAAACAUCGAUCAAAUCGACCGAGUCGAUUAUAUUCCAACAAGACCACUCACGGUCAUUUCCAUUCAGUCAAUCAAUUCACAACAUCAAAUCAAAGCAAGGAUUAAUCGACCUAGUCGAUUACAUGUCAGACAGACCAUUCCAGGUCAUUGAUUCCACACCAUAUAUUCUUUCAUCGAGUACUCGGUCACAGANNNNNNNNNNNNNNNNNNNNNNNNNNNNNNNNNNNNNNNNNNNNNNNNNNNNNNNNNNNNNNNNNNNNNNNNNNNNNNNNNNNNNNNNNNNNNNNNNNNNNNNNNNNNNNNNNNNNNNNNNNNNNNNNNNNNNNNNNNNNNNNNNNNNNGUGCGUUCUUUAAGGCGCCGUUUUCGCCAGUGAUGCCCUUAUCACCGAACCACGCAUGCCUAUAACCAUGUACUCAAUAGACAAUUGUGUGCGUUCUUUAAGGCGCCGUUUUCGCCAGUGAUAUCCCAAAUCACCGAACCACACAUGCCUACAAUGAUUUGAUCAAUAGACAAUUGCGUGCGUUCUUUAAGGCGCCGUUUUCGCCAGUGAUGCCCUUAUCACCGAACCACGCAUGCCUAUAACCAUGUACUCAAUAGACAAUUGUGUGCGUUCUUUAAGGCGCCGUUUUCGCCAGUGAGUUCCAUAAUCACCGAACCACACAUGCCUAUAACAAUGUAUUUAAUAGACAAGUGUAUGCGUUCUUUAAGGCGCCGUUUUCGCCAGUGACACCCUUAGUCACCGAACCAUACAUGCCUAUAACAAUAUGAGUACUAGACCGAUACGUGCGUUCUUUAAGGCGCCGUUUUCGCCAGUGAUGUCCCAAUCACCGAACCACGUAGGUCCAUACACUGUGCCUGAUUGGUUCAAUCCCAGAGUACUUCUGAUUCACUCUCGUCAUUCUACUCACUUUACAACUCAACAAAGCACUAUAAAUGCUGAAUAAACAUACUUGGCCAUUCAUCAAUCAACAAUUCAAUCUCAAUCAAUUCCAAUCAAUUUAGGGUAAAUCCCUAAAAUAUCACAAUUUAUUCAAUUCCAUACAACGUAGAGCUCAAAUAAAUAAACGGACUGCGCCACGACGAUCAGCACGAGAUUUCGGUCGUCGGCCAUCAAAAUCUUAAUUUCCGAAAAAUAAUUAAUUUAUUUAUUAAUUUCGAAAAUUAAAUAAUUAUUAUUAAAAAUUCAAUUUAGCUCAAAAUAAAGCUCGAUUACAUAAACGGACUUCACCACGGUCAUCAGCAUAAUUUUCCGGUUCCGGGCCAUCUCAGUUGAAUUUUCGGAAAAUAAAUAAUUAUUUAAUUAAUUUCGAAUAUUGAAUAAUUAAUAUUAAAAAUCCCAUUUAGCUCAAAUUAAAGCCCGAUUACAUAAACGUACUUCACCACAGUCAUCCUCAUAAUAUUCCGGUUCCGAACCAUCUCCCUUGAAUUUUCGGAAAAUAAAUAAUUAAUUAAUUUAAUUCCGAAAAUUAAUAUUUAAAUACUAAAAAAUCCACUUAGGCCCGAAAAGCCUAAUUGGAGCCCACUAAGGGUCGGGAAAAAUCCCGAGGCACUUCCAAUAAUUAGUAGACCACGUCUACUUGCUAAUUACACAAUCAAUUUAUUUAAAUCGCAUCACAAUUGACUAAUAAUUGCUAAUUUAAUCUAAUCUAACAACCUAAACAUAAUUAAUUAAAUCUAAACCAACCUUAAGCAUAAUUAGCCAACUAAUCCAAGAUUAGUGAGAUUACUCACCAAAUCGCACGCAAAUCGGAUCAAUCCGACGGCGGCGACGCGAGGAACGACAAACUCCAAAGCGACUCGCGGAUCCGGGGCCGGGAAACGGCCCAAAACGGGCCCGAACCAGCUGGAAACCCAUUUCGUGGGUUUCUGCCCUUGGCUGGUCGGAGCAGAUCCGACGGCCAAAACGGCGAGGGAAGGCCGGCGGAAGGCAAGGGGGUCGCCGGGGGAGGUCCGGCGAGGCUAAGCGGUGGCUGGAGGUGGCCGGACGGUGACUGGUCGGUGCGGAACAGGGGCGAACAGCAGCUGGGUUGGCUGGAUCGCGCGGAGGGAGGAGCGGCAGCGAGCGACGGACGGCGGGACGGCGACGGGCGCACGGGCGAGGGCGGCGGUGCGGCGGCGGGACGAGCGGCGAGCGGUUCUCGGCGAGCUGCGAUCUCCGAGCUCCUGGUUCGCAUGCGAAGAAAAGAAGGAGAAGAAAAGCUGGUUCUGUCGUGAGGGGGAAGAAAGAAGAGAGAGGAGAGAGAAGAGAGAAGAUAAGCUUGGACUAGUCAAAGGGAAGAGAGAGAAAAGGUGGGCGGUGGGGGAGAAAAUAUUGGGUACGCCUUAUGUAUCAACGUGGCAAACAAAAAGGCGCUCGGAGCGCGACACGUGUCCUCCCGUGGGACCCAUCAUCUUUAAAUAUUGGAUGAGCAGGGCCACCAGAAACCUUUCCCUCCCGGUCAAAUUUGAAAAAUUCGGGGCGCUCUCUCUCUCUCUCUCCUCCCAAGAAAAUAUUAGCUGGGCCCCACGACAGAUCCUUCUCUUACAAUUAAUUUGAACGGAAGCGUUGGACUCUCUCUCUCUCCAUUUUUUCUUUCGACUCUCGCCCGGUUGCUUUGCCCUCCGCUUCUUCUCCGAUCGGACACGGAGCCGCCGUCCGACGAAUCACGCCACCGCCGCUGCUUCCGCAUCCGCCUCGUCGGCCGCCCCUGCAUCUGAGCUAGAGCUAGUAUUUUCUCGUUCGUUCUGCCCCUUCGUCGCGCUGCUCCUCCGGCGAACGACGGAGCCCGCCGUCCGACGAACCACGCCGCCGCACUUCCGCAUCCGCCUCUUCCGCCACCUCCGCAUCCACCUCUUCCGCCACCUCCGCAUCUGCAUUCUCCUCCGUCUUCAACGGCGACCGGGCUCUUCCUCUCCCAGUCGCCGUCGAAGAAUCCGUACUCAAAAUCAACGUCCGGGCUGAUGCAGGGGAUGCGAGGGAGAUGGAAGCGGGACCUCUUGGAUGCUCCGGGUCGAUGCAUCUUGACGUGGAAGACCAGGGUCUUGUCGAACGAGAGCUCGCGCUCCCCUUAGCGGAUAGGCAUCGAGCUGCGGUAGCCGCAACCGCCACCGAUGCUCUUGACGAAUCCAGCCACGGCGAGACGGAACUUGACCGCGAUGAGCCGCCUGAAUGCCCCGCCUCUCCUCGGCCACAGUAGCGCAAGGCGGACCACGUCCCAAUCUCUGCGGGUGACGCCGGAGUCCCCGCUUGCCAUUUCCGAAUGCAGAACGUGUUACAGAGACGGUGAGGACGGCGAAUCGCAAGCGAGCGGAAGCCCAACGCCGGAGUCCUCGCUUGCCUUUCCUGCUUUACCCUUCUCUCUCUAUUGGUUGGAGCGAGCUUGAGAUGCAUAACAAUGGAAGCUGCCGACAAGGCCACAGAGAAAGCAUUGGCCGAUUCCCUCUCGCGGGAAGUGAACCCCAUCUUGUAGAGGAUGAUGUGAGAGAGAUAGCGGAUGCUAUGCCGAUCGAGGAGGUCGUCGGUGGCAGCAUUCAAGAAGGGUUCUCUUGUUACUCGUGGAGGUAUGCAGACAAGCCCCCGAGAGACGAGAUAUCGUCGACCUAGACUUCCUUCUGUUUCAUGGAGCACUGUUCGGCUCUCUGCAUUCUUCUUUAUUCGUCUGUAACCGAGGUCUGAACUCGAUCAUGGGGAUCUCGAUGAAAAAAUAAAACUAGGAAUUGUUAAGUCCUUUGGAUCUGGAAGAGAAAGCGUGUAGCUAAGUCCCUAAGUUCGAAGAAAUGUGCUGUUUUCUAAAACAAUCAUCAAUAAUAAUAUUGCAAUUUUGUUGAUGCUGUUCGUUUACUUUUUGCUGAUUUCUAGCUUUAUGGUACACAAAGUAUAGAAUGCUCUUCCGUGUUGGUAUAUUUUUUAAAAACUUUUGUCACUUGUUGAACCUGUUUAUAAUUUGCCAACAUUGUUUGUCUAACUUACCAACUUGACUUUUCUAAAAACUUUUCUAGCUUGAUGUUCAUUUGCUCGCUCUGAACUUACCGGCUUCUCUUAUAAUUUACCAACAUUGUUAGUCUAACUUACCAAUCUUUUAGAAUUUGGCAUAUAUAGUUGCCCUUUCAAUAUGCUUUGUUUUUGUUUCAUCUAUUAUGGCAUUGUUUGCCAUUUUGUCGUCUCCAGUGAUGAGCUUGCGGGGCUUGUUCAGUUAUUCUCACGGCAUUAUCGACCUAAAAGAAUGAAGGCACCAUUAUGCACAAGCAAUGAACAUUGCCGUGGGCAACACCAUCAUUUGUUUGAACCGUGCUAGUCGGUAUUUUCCUAUUGCUCGGAGUUCGCACAUCAAUCUAAGAAAAGCAGCUUCAGUCUACCAAGAUACAAUAAUCAAAUCAAUAUUUUCUGGCCAAAUAGAAGUAUAUUGUAAAUCAUUAUAGCAAAACACAAUCCAAGAAUCUUUCAUAUCAUAAUAAGCAGCAACUUCCGGUAUCAAGGCAAGUAUUCUCUGGAACAGAGCAAGAACCGUUCACCCACAGAACCUUGAUCUUAAAAUUGAGCAGAAACAAGGAAGCAAUGAGAGAAUUAUAAUCUCUAACACCAGCCAAAGCCUGAUUCACUGAAUGAUCACAAAUGGGUCAAUGGAUUUAAGCAAUUCAUUUACAUGCAUAGCAGGCCUAUUUGAAAUUCAGUGAUGACAACUGCUUUUGCAGAGAGCUUCGCACGUUUGUUCAACAAGAAAAAAGAAAGAAAAACAAAGAGAAAGAUAGGGUUCACUUCCCGCGAGAGGGAAUCGGCCAAUGCUUUCUCCGUGGCCUUGUCGGCAGCUUCCAUUGUUAUGCAUCUCAAGCUCGCUCCGACCAACAGAGAGAGAAGGGUAAAGCAGGAAAGGCAAGCGGGGACUCCGGCGUCACCCGCAGAGCUUGGGACGUGGUCCGCCUUGCGCUGCUGUGGCCGAGGAGAGGCGGGGCAUUCAGGCGGCUCAUCGCGGUCAAGUUCCGUCUCGCCGUGGCUGGAUUCGUCAAGAGCAUCGGUGGCGGUUGCGGCUACCGCAGCUCGAUGCCUAUCCGCUAAGGGGAGCGCGAGCUCUCGUUCGACAAGACCCUGGUCUUCCACGUCAAGAUGCAUCGACCCGGAGCAUCCAAGAGGUCCCACUUCCGUCUCCCUCGCAUCCCCUGCAUCAGCCCGGACAUUGAUUUCGAGUACGGAUUCUUCGACGGCGACUGGGAGAGGAAGAGCCCGGUCGCCGUUGAAGACGGAGGAGAAUGUAGAUGCGGAGGUGGCGGAAGAGGCGGAUGCGGAGGUGGCGGAAGAGGCGGAUGCGGAAGUGCGGCGGCGUGGUUCGUCGGACGGCGGGCUCCGUCGUUCGCCAGAGGAGCAGCGCGACGAAGGGGCAGAACGAACGAGAAAAUACUAGCUCUAGCUCAGAUGCAGGGGCGGCCGACGAGGCGGAUGCGGAAGCAGCGGCGGUGGCGUGAUUCGUCGGACGGCGGCUCCGUAUCCGAUCGGAGAAGAAGCGGAGGGCAAAGCAACCGGGCGAGAGUCGAAAGAAAAAAUGGAGAGAGAGAGAGUCCAACGCUUCCGUUCAAAUUAAUUGUAAGAGAAGGAUCUGUCGUGGGGCCCAGCUAAUAUUUUCUUGGGAGGAGAGAGAGAGAGAGAGCGCCCCGAAUUUUUCAAAUUUGACCGGGAGGGAAAGGUUUCUGGUGGCCCUGCUCGUCCAAUAUUUAAAGAUGAUGGGUCCCACGGGAGGACACGUGUCGCGCUCCGAGCGCCUUUUUGUUUGCCACGUUGAUACAUAAGGGCGCACCCAAUAUUUUCUCGGCGGUGGGGGAGUCGCACGAAGGGGAAGGGAAAAGGGGGGAGGAGAGAGAAGAUAGAGAGAAAAAGAAAGAAAAGGGAGAGAGAGAAAAGAAUUCAAAUAAUAAUACUUCUCUUAUUUCUUUUCUUUUUCUCUUUCCCUUUCACUUUCUAUUUUCUUUUGGUCUUCAAAUCUUCCUCCGAUAAUUUCUUUCUUGAAACUUCGGACUCGACAAUAAAUUGAUAGACGAUGAGACGGUCCUAAAAAUGAAUUGUAACACGUCCGAAUAUUCGAUUCCCAAAACCGAAUUAAAUUUCAUGAUUAAAAUCGACCGGACGCGAUUUUAGUCCAAUCCAACCAAUUAGGUAGCUUUUAGGGAUUUUACCGCGGUUAUAUCCCUUAACGGCCUCACCCAAUAGGUUAGCUAACUCGUGAGUGAUCAGCUCAGAGAAAAAGGACCAUAGGCACGCCGACGAUAUGCACAUUUCACUUUAUCGAAGUUGGGUCGAAUUUCAAGAUGUCACACGAAGGAUUUGAGUACUCCACGCAAAUUGUAUCUGAUGCUGCAUAUUCAUUUACUUGGGUUUACAAUCGUCAAAUCUCUGAAAGAUAUCCAUGUUACAAUAUCGCACAAAGUAACCAUGUGCGUAGUCGGGCUGAUCCACAGAUAUCACACUAUGAAAAGAAAUACUCGAGAUCGUAAUAAUCUAACCCUUCUCAUCUGAUGCGACAUUGAAUGUUGUAAAUGGCCAGUAAUGAUACAUUAUUUUUUUGCUAGGAUAACAGUCUUUGGUUUAUUUUGAAAAUAAUAACUUGUUGUGAGCUACAAAUUCUUGAUUGAGUGAAUUUUACAACAUUUUAUAAUUAUUUGUUAUUUAAUUUUUUUGUGGUUUAGAAUAGAUUGUUAUUCUCACAGGCUGUCACCAAAUCAUUUCUCUUUUGUAAACUUCUUCUGUUGCCACCUAAUCAAUAAAACUCGAAGCACACCUUAUGUCCUCCUCUUGAAUUAGUAAAGCCUCGACCAUGCGUGAUUUGAAAAAUCUUGGUGCUCUCCGGAGGAUAUUUCCCAAGGAGAAAGUUCUUGUUAAGGCGAUAGAGUAUCUCGAUCUACUGUGCUAGAAUUGGAUCAUCAGCUGAAGUGGCCAUGUGACGUGUGGCCCGGCAAUGCAAUGAAUCGGUAGGUCCCCUGACGUUUCUUCAUUUUCAGGCCGUUGCAGUCGCUUAGCUAUCAGUGGACAUGUAUCUUCUUGGAGAAAAUAUUCAGUGGUUCGUGCGCACCACAUCAUCAGAUGACGUGGCGCGCACAUACCAUUUAGAUACCGACACCUGUCAUGUGGGACCCGCUGGAAAAUGAAAGGACUCGGUCGGCUCGGCUCGGCUCGCUGACAGAAGAAAAGACAAGUCACGCAAGCUCCCGCCCAAAAGACCAUUCUCUCUCCUCAAUUGAAUCUUCUGCAAUUUUUUCUCUCUCUCACUUUCUCUCUCCUCGCGGGAGAACAAACACAGAACGAUCGAGACCGCUUCCGCUUCCGCCUUCGUCUCCGGCUCCGCCUCCUCAAAAGCCUCGCCGGUGAUCUGCUUCUGGCACGUCGAAGCCUCACCAGUCGCAGUCGGGUCCCGACCCCCUCCACCUCCGAUUGUUCCCGCGGAGAUUGGGUACGAGGUUUGUGUCUGCCUCCGGCUCCGCCUUCGUCCCCCAAAAUCUGCUUCUGGCACGUCGGAGCCUCACCAGUCGCAGUUGGGUCCCGACCCCCUCCACCUCCGACUGUUCCCUCAGAGAUUGAGCAGAAGGUUUGUGUCUGCCUCCGGCUCCGGCUCCGGCUCCCUCCCCAAAAGCCUCAUUUGCCUCUGGCAUCCUCCGACUCCGGCAUCUGCUCGUCCUCCCCGUCUCGCCUGCCUCCGCCGCGAAGCCAUCGGCCUUCGGCAGGAGGGAGGUAGCCUCGGUCUCGUUCCCGAGCGGCACUAGGCUUCCCGCCGUAGACCGGGCGCUGUCCGUAACGCUGGCCCGCUCAGUCGCGAGGGAGAUCUCGGACGGUGCGGAGAAGAAGGAGAGGCGCGGGCUAGAGAAGGAUUCCCGCCGGCCUCCGCCACGAAGCCAUCGGCCUCCGGCAGGAGGGCGGCGGCCUCGGUCUCAUUCCCAAGCGGCACCAGGCUCCCCGCCGCUGACCGGGCGUUGUCCCUGACGCUGGGCUGCUCGGUCGCGAGGGAGAUCUCGGCGGACCUGGGCGGGGUCGAUGGCGCGGAGAAGAAGGAGAGGCACGGGCUGGAGAAGGAUUCCCGCUUGCUGUGGACCUGGGGGGGUCCGUGCAUUUCUCUCUCGACCGGUGAGUUUCCUUCUUCCUCCCCUCUCAUGGGCUGGUUUCUGAAUGUGCAGUCGAAAUCCCGAAUGGUUUGUUUCUGCAUCUUGUUGGGUUGUUCAGUUGCCAGCGAAUGCGCGAGUAGCGAGGGAGCACGGAAGUGGAAGAUUUGAAGGGUAAUUUACUUCACAAGUCUUUGAGGACAACCUUCAUUUCUUCUAUGUAGGCUAAGCACUGUAAUGCCUAGGCUCUCUUUGAUGGAAUAAUAUGUUGUUUCGUUUAUGGCAAAAAGAAGAUAAAUAUUAGUGGGAAUAUGGGCAAUUGAAAUUUAAUUUUUCGAUGAAUAAAUGAUUUUGAUGUGCAUGGAAACACCUCACUAGAGAUAUUCUGCAACUACAAUAAUAGGUAUUCUUACAUGACUUGAUCAAAACUGCAGAGCCUAAAAUAAGUAUAUGUCCUGUUGUCCUUGGAAGACCGUACCAGUUUUGACUAGUUACGUUGCUGGUUGAACAUGGAACCUACAUGUCAGUUUAGUCCUCAAUUGCCUUCACUUUUUCCCCACUGACAAUCUUUCGGUGCUUCAUUCGGUAUCAUAGGAUCAAUAGUCAAGUUAUUCACUGACUAUAUGAUUGAGGCGAAGGAAAACGUUGACAGGAACCUUUUUGCCACCAUUGCUAAUGGUACACAGGUAAGAAGUCAGACUUUGACAAAAUCACUACGAAAGUGCAGGCCUGGUUCCUGAUAUUUCUUCUAUGCUGUUUUCUUCUGUCAUAGGAUUCAGUCAAGCUCUUCAUGAAAAUAAUCUCACGUCAUUUGGAGGAGCAACCUCAAGGCAAGCACCCCGAGGUAAGAAGUUUGAUUUUCUUCCAUAGCAGCAUUGGUUGCUCAUUGCCUAUGUGCCUCACAUCUAUUAAGUAUUUCUUCACAAAUGCACUAGAAGGUAGAAAGAGUACAAAUCGCACAGCUCGUAGAUUGAGUGGGAAGGCAUUACUUUCUUCUAUCGCAUAGAUAGAGCAAAUAUCGCCUGUAGGAAUUUUGCACACGCUUUUUGUGCCUGUUUGAUGUGUAUGAGAUUAAAAUUAUAGUUGUAAGACUAACCAGAGGGGUAAAUAUGUUGUUGUUUUCCAGUGCUUCCUUUGCAUCCAUGCAAGAAAUACAGUGCACUAAACGUCACAGGAGUGGCAUUUCCAUUUUUUUCCUACAAAUAAAAUAAGCAGCAAAUCUUCUUUGCUGAACUAAAUGUCAUGUUCAACCAUCAGGGAAACAUUUUGUACUCAAAUCUACUGCCCAAUAUAAUUGAUAUAGGGAUGAGAAACUUUGAGUUUGUUAAGUUUUUCACUUUUUGAUACUGAUGGUUUUUGUUUCCUAUCAUAAUCACAAAUGACAUGAAUUGUUUCAACAUCCAAUUUCAGCUGGAUUUAGUCUUUGGAGAUUUACUAAAAGAAAGAGGCAGGUUGCUUUCAACAUCCUCACCCCUGGAGGAUUUGUCCACUCGAGGAUCCAAGGUAUGUCAUCUUUGUGAACUUACUCCCCUGCAGUUAAGCUGCAGUUACCGAUAUCCUUUUUCCUGCCUUUGUCAUAUAGUGUUGUCCAUUGGCAUGAGAUAAUUUGUGCAAGAAAUUUAUAUAUAUUAUGUUUUCUUAAUAUGCUCUUGUUAUCACGUUAGUUGAUGCUUUAUGAUGACUUUUUGGUCAAUUGGCACGAUCAGGUGUGGGUUUUGUCCUUAUUGGAAUGGGUAUCGCAUUCUCUUUCUAUUAUGUACUCUGAAAAGAAAAAAAUUAAACGGCUCAUUGGUCAACUAUCGCUUGAUUAUAGAAGCUAGAAAUUAGUUCUUAAUACAUAUGGUUACCUGAAUAUCUUUCUGCUCGCAAUUAAGUAGCUAUUAUCACCGUGGAGAAUUUGUAAUCUGAUGCCUCUGCACUCUUCUUGUUCAUAGUGCUGCAGAACCUGUUCGAAAGAGGGUAACUGCGAUCAUCGAAAUGUAUUUGAGAUGCAAGAGAAAGAACUUUUGGUGAGUGCCUCUCUAUAUGAUGCAGAAAAUCUUUAGGAAAGAAAAGCUUGCAGACUUCUUUUGCCGAUUUUUGCAAAAUGAAUUGGAAAGAUUUUGUUUGAUAAAAAGAUUUUAGUAAGGGUGGUUGGGACUAUAAUAGAUAUUUUCAAUUUUCAUUUAAACUUGCUUGCAGGAUAGACUAAUAAAGCAAGGUCUUUAAGUUAACGUGAUUUCAUGUUCCCGUCAACAAUUGUAAAGGAUGAGAAAGUCUAAUAUUUGCAUCUUGCAGGAUCUUAAAACUUUGUUGGUGAAGACAAAAAGGGAGUUUGAAGAUCUGCAGUUCCAGUUUCAGAGAGAUCUAAAACAGCUAGGUAGGAAAAGUAGACUAAAAAGGAGUAGUCUAAUUAGUUCUUUUUUUCUGAGCACAGGCAAGGCUGAGGACAUGGAGCUGCAUGUUCCUUGUCCUUUUGCAUUGAAUGUCAACCAUUUUAGAUGAGUGUCGUCUAUAUACUUUAUUUAUUACAGCUCCUCCGCUGAAUGUUAUUAUCUCAGAUUGAGGCCAUUGUCAUUAAUAUGCUCCCUAAGAUUUGGCAAUAAACUCAAAUUUGAACUUGAAGAAUGAAUCUAUGGGAUCUUGUUACGAUCUUUUUUUUGCUUUUUCAUUUUAUUAAGGAGAAUAAAAGCUAGGUGUGACAUGCUUCCUGAGCAUUAAUAUGUGUUUUUGCUUUUCCAAUGGACCAGGCAAUCAAGUCCAGGAGAUGUCUACUGCUGCCCUUGGAUAUCAUAAAGUGGUGAAGGAAAAUCGAAACCUUUACAACAUGGUUCAGGAUUUAAAAGGUUAGCUUCUUUUUUCAAGGAGAGUUAUUUGUUUAUGAUUUGGAUCGCAUAACUCAAUUUUUUGAGCAGUAUGCAUUUAUUCGCCGAAGUAUAUGCUUGUCCAUGGGUCAGUUGCUAUUAAGUAAAGGAGCUUUCGUUGUUUUAUUUCCAAUGUUAUGAGUUUAAUUUGACAAAAUCUUUACAGGAAAUAUACGAGUAUACUGCAGAAUUAGACACAUUUUUAAUGCGGAAGCCAAAAAUGUGGUAGAUUUUAUUGGAGAAGAUGGUUUACUUGUGAUUGUUGACCCUUCAAAACCCAUAAAGAUGGAAGGAAAGUGUUUCAGUUUAAUCGGGUUUUCAGUCCACUUGCUACUCAAGGUAUUGUUACACUUCAUCUUACUGUCUAAGGGUAUAUUGUUGGCCAAGUGAUUGUCCUGCAAGUUGAUGUUCAGCUCCUAAAUAACAAUGUAAAUUGUUUUUCGCCAUGCGGCCCUCUUUGCAGAUGAUGUGUCCAUGGAUACUCAACUUUGAUUGGAUCAGUUAUGGAUGGUUACAAUGUCUGCAUCUUUGCUUAUGGUCAAACUGGAUUGGGUAAAACACAUACAAUGGUAAGAACUUAAGUGUAGCUUUAGUAGAUCCAACCUUUGUGCCAGAUCACCUCCUAGGCUCCUAGAUAAUUUGUGUAAAAUAAAAAGUGUGCAUUUUCCUUGCUGUUAGAUGGAUGUACUGUUAAUUUCGUAUAUCUACCUGCAAAGCAUGAACACAAUUCAAUCUAAGCAGAUGCUUAAGAUUGCUUACGUUGAUUUGAGGAAUAACUACUUAUUGCCUUUUGGAAUUGCAGAGUGGUCCAUCAGGCGAACUGACAAAGGACAUGGGGAUUAAUUACUUGGCUGUCAACGAUCUGUUCAAGUUGUCUAACAGAAGGAAGGACAUUAUAACUUAUGAUAUUCAUGUUCAGAUGGUUGAAAUAUGUAAUGAGCAAGUGCGUGAUCUCCUUGCUGAGGAUUCAGCAUCCUCAAUAUAUCCUUUGAAAUGGAUUAUUCUGUCUAAUAUAGAUACAUUUGAUGUCAAAUAAGUAGAUAAAAAGACUGAAGAAAGCUUAAGUUUCUGACAUGUAAAUUUGGGUUCCUUGACUAUGCACAAAUUAGAGAUUCGAAGCUGUACCAGUGACGGUGGCUUGAGCCUUCCAGAUGCUACCAUGCAUUCUGUCAACUCCACAGCUGAUGUGGUCAACCUAAUGAAACUCGGUGAUGUGAAUCGUGUCGUCAGUUCUACAGCACUGAACAAUAGAAGUAGCCGGUGUCACAGGUCAGUUUUUGGACAGGCAGAGUUUCCUUCCCAUUCUUUUUGGUAUAAAUUUUGAUGUAGUUUCCAAUAGAUAGAUUAUUCAAGAGAGUGAUAUUGAUGUCCAUGGGGAUGCAUCCUUGCAGUGUGUUGACAGUAAAUGUUCAAGGGAAAGAUGUAUCUGGAUCCAUCCUCCGCGGUUGCCUGCAUUUGGUUGAUCUUGCAGGAAGUGAACAGGUAGAUAAAUCUGAAGUCAGAGGAGAGAGACUGAAGGAGGCACAGUACAUUAAGCGGUCUUUGUCUUGUCUGGGAGAUGUUAUCACAGCUUUGGCCCAGGAAAACUCCCAUGUACCUUACCGCAAUAGCAAACUUACGCUUCUGCUGCAAGAUUCCCUAGGUACCUAUUUCGAAGUUUCGAACUUUGUCAGGUGUCAUUGAAGCUUCAUUUUAGGAUAAAAUUACUAAUUCCCAGAGUGAGCAUUUCAUAGAAUUGAGAUACUCUGAUUAUGAUCCUUGGGUAAUGGUGACAUUGCUUUUAUGCAUUUUAUUUCAGGAGGAAAUGCGAAGACAUUGAUGCUGGCUCAUGUGAACCCUGAGAGAGAUUAAUUUGGGGAAUCAAUGAGUACCUUGAAGUUUGCCCGGAGAGUUUCAACGGUUGAACUUGGUGCUGCACGCAUGAAUAAAGAGACCAGUGAGGUCAUGCAACUCAAAGAGCAGGUAAAUGUCCUUGGGUAAUCUCUAUGCUUCAGAUGCCUUUCUGACAAUAAUCAACAUUAUAAUUCUAGGGGGCUGGAUCUGUCGAUUUGGCAAAAAUGAGAUCCAGAUUGUUAUGCAAGGAGAGCGCACUCUUUGUACUGAUCCUCGAACGCCCAACUUGCUUGUUCAAAGCAUGAAUGGCAAGGAAUCUCACAUAAGGAAAUUGCUGCACGCCAUAGGGAGGAAGCUCAUCAAUGGAUUUGAAAGGAGGUCAGUGAAAUAUUUAACUAUCUAGUCUUAACACUGAAUUGGACAAAUUUAGUAUGGUAUGAAAUACACAAAUGCAACUGAAAAAUUCCAAAAUGACGGAUAAUAUGAGAAUUUGCUCACAUCAUUAUCUUGCCAUUAAGACUUGGUUUCUAUGCAACUGCAGGAACCAAAGAUAUGUGACAGAAGCUCGUUCACCUGUCAGAGGCUCUACUACUUGCAUUAAAAAUGGCGUAUUGGCAAUUGCAGCCAACACACGGACACAAGAUGGAGUAUUGGCAAUUGCAGCCGACACACGGACACUUAGGAGACAAUCACUAACAGGUGCUGGUUUAGACCAGUCUCGCCGGUCUUCUCUGGGUGGCAAGUCCACUAAUUCCAGUAAGCAGAAUCAGCAUAAUUAAAUUUAAUUCACAGUAUAUAUUUCAUCUCAUUAUGUCCAUCAUCUGAUUAUUUGUUUUUGUUUCUUCAAUAAGAUGUAAAAGACACAAGGAAUGCCAAGACGCCUCCUCCAGUCCACCCAUUAUCUAUGAUAGCAAAGCGUUGGCUGUAGCUAUAGAUGGCGAAAUUUAGUGUUCAAUGACCAGCGAAGUGAUGCUUUGACUCGAAGCUGACUGAAUAGAUGAGACACUGAGAAUUGACGAGGGAAAGACUGAAGAGUUAGCCAACAAACGCAAUAGCAAUUUUUUGGUUUAACACACUGCUUAUGUACAUAUUGACACAAGUUCUUCAAAUAAUGCCCGAAAUUUCUAUGGCAAUGUUUUCAAACUGCUCUUGCCCAUUGUUCUCUGAAUCUCUGACUUAAGUCAUCAAAGCUAUCGGCAUCUUUUAACAGAAAUGGAGGAAAUGACAAGUGCCUCUGCUAAUAAACCGGCUGCUCUUCUAUUGUAUAGCUAGCUAAACAUCAAAGAUUAUAGCAUGACAUUCAUAUAACGUGACGCCAAUGUGGUACUAUAGAAUCAAGUGUUCUUGUUUUUAGUAUAGUUGAUUAUAAUAGCUUCACAAGCCCUGAAACCGAGAUCCCUCAGUUUAUCCAGCGACACCUUGCGUGAUAUGGAUCAUACAUUGUGUACUUAUUCAGUUAUAAACCUCCAAUGUAACUGAGGGGCUAGUCAGUUAAAAAAACACAACUAUAGCAACAACUUCCAUGUUUCAUUUUCCGAAACAGGAUCCCAUGCCCAUCUUUGAAGUUCAGCUUAAUUUAGUUGAAGAUGCAAACAAGCAGAUGGCCAUUGCCUUAGAUUUACCCAAAAGUGCUACUGUCGGGAAAACAGACGUGAAGGUUAAGAGGAGCAUCAUUAACAAGUCAUCCAGUUCACCAAAUUGUUAAAAAAUGCCUUCUUUACAAGUUUAUGAUGAACCUGAAAAAUUGAUUCACAGAUGAGUGUACUUUAUUCAAGUUUCAACCAUUCAGUCAAUGGAAAGAAAUAUCGACAAUUAUUUAAGGAAGGUGAAGAGAAGGAAGUAGUUAGCAAAGCUUAAACAAGUCGGUUGUUUGAUUGUAGCUAAUUUGCCCGUUUAUUUUCUUGAAGGAAUAGUCAUAGGCUUGAAGCAGCCGCUUGUGGAAUCUCCUCAUGUCCAAGCUCACAUUCUGUCUGUCGAGAUAGAUCUCCUUAGUGUAUUGCCAUCCCUUCCUAGUCACACCCUUUGGAUUCGUAAGGACUGGAUCAUCUUUAUCGUAUUCAUUAUACAGUGAGCUCUCCCUAGGCGAAAUCUUGUACCCAAUAUACUUGAGACCAAGCUCUCUAGCAGGUUUACCAAAGCAUGUCUCAGCUGGUGAAUCCGUCCCUAAAGGAAUGACUUGGAUGAGCACAGAACCAGGCUUCAGGAAAAGGAAGUGGGUCAAAGCAGCCCCGUGUACACCAACCAUAACCUCGCUCUUAUUAAGCAAGCGAUACAUCUUCGCCAGUUCAGUCGUUCGCUUAGGCCGCGAAACUUCUACUCUGAACCCCAUAUCCUCUGCCAUUUUAACCAAGCAGUCUUCGUUAACUAACGCCCUGGACCCACUGCGCGAUAAUAUCACCAGCUUCGGUUUCUUCACCUGGUGUUUCUGGUCGUCUUUAUUAAUUUUCAUCGAUUGCCCCAAAGUUGGCACUGAAGCCGAUUGAUUCAGUUUCAGCUGUACCCCUUGCUCCUUGUCUUGUAUUGAACCUUUUAUCCGCGGCUGGUAAGCACGGUCAAGGAAGUGUCUGAAAUCGAGGAUGCUCUUAUUCCCCUUCAUCAGUGAAGGAUCCACAGUAAGGUCAUCAUGGAUUUUCACACCAACAAUGGCCUCCGGUAAGCAAUGGGUUCUUUUAUCUCCAGCAAAGUCGAUGAGCGGAUAGUUCGAGAGGCGAGAAAGGAUGUUCUCAUACUUCAUAAUCCACCAAUUGUACAAACUUCAUCACUUUUAAGAAUUCCUGUGGGAUCGGCUGUCCCCAUUAGAUAGUAAGAAUCUGGAAUAGGAAUCCUUCCUCCUUUCAAACUCUUCUUUUCAUCAUUCAUCAGGAUGGACAGACGAUUUUGUAGGUAUGUUUCGUCCAGAGGAAUCCCAGAUAAGAUCAUUCUGGCCGCAGUGAAGCCAUCCUUCUCACCAUGAUUCACCGAAACUGUUCAUACGGUAAAAGAACAAAAGGAAAACACGAGGGAAAAUGUUUACACAUCAAAUAGCAAUUGAAGGAAAAAUGCACCCAAGGGAAGUAAAAGCAGCAAAGAUGAAUAGAGAUGCAUUUUUUUACUUAUGCAUAUUUCGAAUCAAGAAAAAUAAAAGAAGCACAUCCAAGUAUAGAAAAAAAAAUUGGAGAAAAAUCUCUUUUUGGACUGUUUUAAGAAUAGACAAUAUUUCAACAGUCCAAAUGUUCAGAAGAAUACUAUCUCUUAGAGCUGCUCGUUUACUAGAGAAGACACUAUUUGCAUCUCCCAGAGCAUUCUCCACCAUGUCCAAAAGAAAUUCAUUAGGGACCCCGCCAUAGCUUAAAAGUGCAAUCAAAAUCUUUGAAAGAUAUGCAAGCUUUGGUUUAUUACAGCAUCAAUGAGGACCAAGGUCUAAUCAGUUCUUCCAAAAAGGUAAAAUUUGAUGGCAGAAAAAGCUCCAAACAAAAAGCAAUUGGAUUUAGUAAUUCACAAGAAAAACAUGUCCCAUGUUCAAAUUAAACUGCUGAAAGAACAAGAAAGCCGCUAACUUUUCAGUCUGUUUAUGUAAGGGUCUUUUAACCAGCUAACUCCAAAGGAAAAUCUUAACAAAAUGAUCAACAAAUCAAUAGCAUAGCCAGGCAACAAACCCACAGAUAACACUGUGAUCACAGUACUAGGGAUCAGAGGUACCAUAAGAACCUCAAGAGAAUUAAUUAAAACAAUGAUAGCCUGCUGGCAAAAUAUGUUGGUUGUAUAUUGUUUGUACUAUUUCGAGUGCAUCAACGGUCCUGAUAUCUAAAAGCUUCGGGUCCUUUUCAACCUUGAUCAUCGACGGUCGAAUAUGAAUUGUAUGAGGAGGGAGCUACAGAUUAAAAUUCGGCCAAAACAAUUAGAAUGGAAGAUCUAAAUGAACCGAUAGAAAAAAUGAAAUAUAUCGCAAUAUGGAGAAUUAUUGCAGCUGAAGAACUAAUAACUAGACUCACACUUAAUAAUACAAUGUAGAUUUUCCUAAGCAACCAAAACACUCUAACAACAUCAAUGAUCUAACCAAGUUUCUGCAUAUAAAAUGACUGCCUUGACAAACCGCAUUCCUUUUAUGCUUCCUCUUGUGAGCAUGAUGGAUAGGAGAAAUUCCCACCAGAACACAUGAGACUUCUAUUGCACUCUCAUACCGAUACAUUAUCACCUGACAGUAAUCAUCUCGGGAUAGAAAGACAGGAUAAUAGAUUCACAAACAAACAUGCUUUUAUAUAUACACUGAGUCAUGAGUAUAAUUAAAUAGCAUGAAAACAGUGUACUCUAUCCGCAACUGGAGUAACUGAAUAUCAUAGGACCUGAAUGAGCUAGAUUAGAACCCCAUGUGCAAAAAAAUUUGAAACCAAUCUUUUUAAAAAGCUGACCCCUGUUCAAACAGGAUAAACAGCUUAAUGGUCAACCGUAAUUGAUUGUUGCCUAAUUAAUACAUUACCAAUAAACAUCAGUCCACAGCUAAUCAAGAAUUUAUGAAGCAAUCAACUGUAUCAUUUCUAAUUAUUCAGGACGUCAGAAAAGAAAAUAUCAUCCACUGUUGUCAAGCAAGGCCCUAGCCUAAAAUAAGGGACAUGUUACAUUAAAAGUUUGGGAUGAAUCCUUUAGCAAGAAAUUUUUUUAACCUUUUCUUUAAAUGAACCCAAAGAAUGUAUUAGCAAGGUAGAUCUUAAGUCAUGAAAUGAUAUUCUGGAAAAAAUUAAUUUUUGUACUACAUUAUAGCAUCUUUCUUAUUGACAUUAGGCACUUGCUUUCCCAUAUCAAAUUUUGUGACACCGCAUGCAAAAGUUCUUUUUCCUGAUAUGGUACCUAGCAACCGGUGGAGAGAGAGAUGAAAUAAGAAUGGACUGCUAAGUUUAGUGUAAAGGUGUACAUAGGAAAGACAAUGUUCAAAGAAAAGCAAAGAUGUAUAGAAGACUACACAUUUUCACCUUUUUCCUUGGCUCUCUUAAAAGUAAUCUUAUAAGCAUAAGACUAGGCUCUGGAAGUCUCCGACUGUGCUAAUGUAGAGUCGACAGUUGCUUUUCUAAAAACUUCGCCCUUUUACUAAAAUAAUAUACCUCCUUUCUCAGUUUUGUUUACAGAAAGGAACAAAAAGGGUCAAAGAACAUGACCUAAUUUCAUCUUUUUCCUUGAGGGAAUGCCUGAGAGAAUGACCAGCCUUACUUGAGGUGCUUUUGGAGUCGCCACAUUGGGUGCCUGCCCAGGCAACUCCAGUGCUUUUGAGAACACUAGUGACACCUAAACAGAACAAUUGAUCUCACUUCAACUCAUAAACGAGACCAAGCACUUAGUGGCUUAAUGUGGCAAAAGAUGCUUGAAGGCCUAGAUUAUUUUCUCUUUGCAAAUUGAACCCGAUGCAUUGAUCAACCCCCAAAUAACUCAAGGUGCAAUANNNNNNNNNNNNNNNNNNNNNNNNNNNNNNNNNNNNNNNNNNNNNNNNNNNNNNNNNNNNNNNNNNNNNNNNNNNNNNNNNNNNNNNNNNNNNNNNNNNNGUUAUUUAUUAUUUUCCUUAACAUCAAUAUACACACUUCAUAUUUAUACAUGGAACUCACAUUACAAAAAAGAGUGUAUGAAGAAACCAAGAUACCUCUUUGAAUCAUAGAUAACAGGGAACAAAGGCGAGUUCUCUAUUAUGUGCAAGAACUUCUUCAAUUUCAAAUCUGACUGCAACAAAGUAGUGAAAAACAGGUAAAACAACGUGGCAAAAAUGAGGAACUAUUACAUAGUUCUUCAUUUACAGGAAGAUAUCAACUAGCACACUGAAUAAGCAAGUUCCAAGCAUAAGAUAUAUGUAACAAAACAAAUAUGACAGUUAUAAAAAGACCAUUAAAAGGAGCAACUAUUGAGGACCCACCUUAUAAAAUUCCAUUAGUUCAUCAGCUCUGAAGUUCUUCACCUAAUAUCAGAACAGAAACUAAGGCGUGAUCAGCCAACACAUCAAUCGCAAUUGGUAGAGAAAACAAAACAAAUAUAUAAAUGAAAGCAAUCUCAUGAACUCAAAAGUGGCAUUGACAUGUUAAGCAUACUUAAUUUGGAAUAAUUCACUUUGCAAAAUAGUAAUUAGAAAUAACAUGCUAAUGCAUUGGAAACUACAAAAUUUCCUUUUUAGUUACUUAGUAAGUCUCCUUAGAGCACUGUUAACAAAAGGGCACUUGUUAAGCAUACUUAUUAAUAUGAUUCACUUUCCAAAGAAAAAAUUACAAAUACCACAAGAACAAUCUGUGCAUCCAAUUGAAAACCAUAAAAAUUUCUUAAUCAGUUGACUUAAGAAUUGCCCUUAGAGAACAGUUAACAAAAUCCUUACAAAUACAUAGAUCUUCUCUGCAGAUCAGACUCAUGGCACAUGCAUGAACAGAAAAAUACAAUCUUUAUCAUGAAACUACCUGCUUCAAGGGGACGAAACUUAUACUGGAAGGUGGCAAAGCCUGAGACCAAAGGAAAAGGAACAUGAGUCGGUGAUAUGCUGCACUUCUCGUAACAUUUUAUCAUACUUUGCUCUAAGAAACAUUUAGCCAUAGCAGAUAUAUAACUCGUACAUAUUAAGAAGAAACAUUUAGCUGUAGCAAAUAUAUAACUCGUACAUAUUAAGAAGAAACAUUUAGCUGUAGCAAAUAUAUAACUCAUACAUAUUAAGCUAAACCAAAUGUGCAAUUCCCUGUCAUGUCUGUUUUCGUCUAUGCUUUAUCUAGUAGAUGAGCACUCCUGAUAGCGAAACAUAAUACUACGAAUUUUUGGGAUCAAAAUAGAGUAUCUCGGAUACAUAUAGUAAUACCAUCCUCUGGGACAAGCUCAGAAGAUGACAAAACUUGAACUGGUCAAAGCUUGUCUAGCUAGCUGCAACUCCUCGAAAACAUGUAAUAGAUGCUGAGGCAAAGUGUGGGGUAGAAAGAAGCUUCAAGAGGGAAUCCUUCAGGCAUUUAAAUAUAUAGAGAGAAAAAAAGGAAAGAAUAGGUGAGCACAAGCUUCCAGCCCGGAUAACACUCUAUCAUGACAAGAUCCAUUAUGCCAACAAUCUGAAAAUCUUCCAUUUAAGUUCUAACUGGGCCUUAGCUUCAAGCGAGGAUAGUAGGACAUGUGCAGAAUUCUUCAUUUUAGAUUCUAGUUUAGGCAAUUAGUUCAAACACACACCUCAUAGCUGAAGGGGCCUUCUAGCGCAUCCAAGUCAUGAGUCCCAAUUGCAAUCAGUGUUCUUCGCCUAAAAUAUCGAGAGAAUCCGACCAUGUCAAUCCAAGCAGAACAUUUUGAGGAUCUAGCAUAAGCACAAGCAUCUGAUGUACUAAGUGGAGGGAUUGGGGGGCUGGGCAUCUAUUACAUGCAAAUAAAAUAUCAAAUUGAAUAUAGAUCUCGAGAAUGAAAACUAGUUCAAGCAACAUAUCUAUCAUCACCACUUCACCAAAUUAUUCAAAACAACUCAGCGGAGUCCUCUCUUCACAUCCAGGCAUUUCUCACAAAUUAUUCAAAGAUCGAACCACAUAGCAUCUCGAUAGCCAUUACGAGCAACAUGGUCCGCGAACCCCCGAACCAAAAUUCACCCAAGACUUGCGAAACAGCUCCAAACCCAUCCGAAACACACAACAUCUAACUGAAUGCCGAAUCAGCUUCGCAGUCACCUGUUCCCCGGAACUUCAAUUUUGUAGAUGACUUCCUCGUCCUCAUCAGUCUCCUCUUCCAGGUGCUUCUCCUUUCUGAUGAUCGCCUUCUCCGUCGUCUGGCCAGCACAAACAAAGAAGCCCAACCCCCUCAGCCUUUAAAAAAAAGAAGAAAAAAUCCCCCAAAAAAAAACCCAGGUCUGAUUUGCUCGCGGUGGUUCGCCGGUCGGAAAGAGGGAGGGCAGAGAGAGAGAGGAAGGUUGCGGUCCUCUCACCGGUCCGGUGCGGUAGUUCGUCGGUUGCUGGCGGUGGUUCGCCGGUCGGAAAGAGGGAGGGCACAGAGAGACUGGGAGGUCGCGUCCUGUUCGUCAGAGAGAGAAAGAGAGAGGGAGGGAAGAGUGAGAAAGGCGAGAGAGGAGAGAGAGAAAAACCCAGCAAAUUCGAGUGAGGAGAGUGAAAAAAAUUCGAGCGGGAGGAAUAAGCUGACCGUCCUUUCUUCUGCGGUGCAGUCGAGCCGAGCCGAGCAGCCCAAAAAUCAGCGCCUUCCUUUUUCAGCGGGUCUCGCUCGGGGACACGUGCCGGUAUUUCAUUGGUUAGUGUGCACCAGGUCAGCGGAUGACGUGGCGCGCACUAACCACUGAAUAUUUUCUCAUCUUCUUGACAGGGGUAACCUGGACGCCUAUCGCAAUCCAACGUCAGAUCGAUGUGCACAUGUUAGUGUGGCACGUCUCUCUCAUGCUCCUAGGACGAUUUUUUUACUUUAGUGCCGACACUCCCUCGUGAUGCCCAGACUCAUUCCAACAUUGUCGGCAUGCAUUCGAGAUUAAUUGCAUAACCCCAUUAUUCUAACAGUGAGCAUGCUCUCUUUCAUCGUUUAGAGUGUUAGUUUCUAUCGUACGUCUAUAUCUAUGGGGGUAAAACUUUGAGAAAUUUUGAAAGAAUCGAAAACAGUUCCCUGUAUUGUGUCUUGGAAACAUUUGAGAGCAUAAAUUGACAUCGUACCUCAAAUGCUGAAAUGAAAGGGGAAAAAAGGGAAUGGGACGAAUGUGGAAUCAACACCUCAUUUUUCAAUGAAGAGUGUGAUGAAGAUGGCAUGUGAAUCGAUGAAUGAGGAAUCAUCCACAUGAAAUAAAUUUAAGAUGGAAUAUUCCACCGAAGCCAUGUUAUUAUAUGUUGAAUUGAAAAGACUGAGCUUUUACUUAAAGUGAGAUGAUAAGGCAUGCAAAGAUUCAUUCAUAAUCCCAUAAAUGAGUGAUAUCACGAUCAUGUUUUGAUUAGAGAGAUUCCCAUUAUUUUGGUAGUGCUUUAAUUUUUCAGUUGAGACAAUUAAUGAUCGAUCGAGAAAAGUCAAAACUGACAAACUCGUUUUAUAUCAUCGUUGGUAUGAAAAUGAUUGAACUCUUGGAGUACGGUAUUUGCUUUAAUUGCGUACAUCAAUGGUCAGCGCGUGGUCAUCGACUCAAAUCGCCAUCCAUCGAAUGAAAAAUCACUAUAGACAAGUGACUAACAUGUAGACAAGUGACUAACAUUGCUCGUACGAGGUACGAGGUUAAAAGAUCAUAAACACCUGGAGAAGGUCUCCCGUCGGUGAAAAAUCACUAUCCACUUGUGACAUGUCUCACGUACUUUUUAGGUCCGUGCAUUUAUUCAUCUUGUUUAUUUAGCCUAAUAAGGUUUGACUAACGUUAUAGCCUUCUAAGUUUAGCAUAAUUAAUCACAGGUGUUGCGCCAGUAGCCACUUUUCUCACAUGAAAAAAGAGAGGUGGGAAGUUUUUAGGGAGCUGGGGAUGGGAACCUUUAGUUUCAAGUGUGGAAUUCGACUACCAUACUCUAUAAAAAGACAUGACAAAAGUCUGAGAGUGUGUUAAGAGUUAGAAUAUGACAUAUAAGAAAAAAGUUUAGCAUAAUCCACAAACCAAAAAAAAAAAAAUCAUUAAUUCCAUUAAUACACACUAACUCGUCAUGAAGAAAAUCCAUAUGUAUGUGUGCGUAUGUGGAAGGUAGAUUGAGUUAUUUUUGUAUGAAAACAAAGUUAGAUUAAAGAUUUUGAAUAAUUCAACUAGAGGGAACAUAGGCACAUAAAUCACAACAAAUUUGGCAUUUAAUAUCAUAGAGUAAAGCAUAGAAACUAAUUUUUCAAUCUAGUGGGAGGCACGGAUCCUCUACUAGUUUCAUAUUGAAUCAUGCCAAGAAAUUAAUGAAUGAACAAGUGCAAUUUCUUGUGAAAGAACAUGAUAUCAGACAAUAAUAAUCUAGAAAAUUGAAAGGUAAAUGAGACAUCGAAUUUACAUAAUUCGGGGGUGUGAAUUACUUUUGGAAGAGAAGUAUCGAAUUUCAUUAUAGAUCUAGUGAAAGAAUGGACAUUAGAAACACAUUUGAGUUACUCAAACGUUUCUAGUAGCUUGUAUAGUGUUUAGCCCUCACAAUUCUUAACGAAACAAUCUCUCAAUCUUACAAAAGAAUACACAAAACUGAUCAAUGACAAAAGGUUUCUCCAAUUUAGGUGCAAAAGUGAACAAAACUCACGAGAAGAAUUUUUCUACACAUUCUUGGCACAAACCAAGGCACAAAGCCCCCCCCCCCCCCCCCCAAAAAAAAAAAAAACAACAACAGCAACCUAAUUAGAGAACCUAUAUUAAUCCCAGGAGACCGACUCCAAUACGAACUCAGGUUUCGUUCAAUGGUUUCAAUCUCAAGACAUAUUUAUCAACACAAACAAUGAUUAAUUGUGCACCCACUUUAUUCCCAACUGAUUUCUUAAAUUCGAUUUUUUAGCUAGAUGAAUGUGGCUUGCGUUUUGCCAGAUAGGCAUUUGUAGACAUAUCUAGUUUGGUUUGGCCUUACCCCGAACAAGCUUCUAAGAUUUGGUUUCAAGAUAUUUUGACGUGCUCUCAACAUGUGGCCGGAGGCAGGAACUGGUACCGAGGUUGCCGUGUGGGGCUCGUCAUGAGAACUAAAUUGAAACAGUUGCUCUCAAGCCCCAUCAACACGGUGAAGAAAGUGUCGUCCCCAUAGAGGUACUAUGAAAUUGGAUGCAUAUAAGCCACUCAAAGCUCAUGUGUCAUUAUUCCUUGACGGUAAUAUCUUCUGAGUCAUCAGUCAUCGUAGUUCUAAUAUUGAGUAUUAUCAGCAAUUAUUCUCGGUUCUGUCUGGUCAUAAAUCUUCGACUUUCAAUCUGUAAUCAGAUGAAUUAAGACGCUUCAAAGAAGGAAGCAUCUUAUUCAACAGAAGCAAUUGCGAAGAUGUUGAAGCUAUGAUAGAGCUUCUUGAGGCUUCACAUCUGGCUUUGGAAGGUGAAAACAUUUUGCAUGAAGCGAAAGCCUUCUCAACUGGGAUUCUCCGCGAAAGAGUGUCCAGUUUGGAUGGUCGUCUCUUCAAACGCACCGUCCAUGCUUUGGAGCUUCCGUUGCAUUGGAGGGUCCAGUGGUUCGACAUCAAAUGGCAAAUAAGCUUGUACGAGCAACGGGAGGACAAGGAAAGCAAUCUGCUUGAGCUUGCCAAGCUCAAUUUCAACACGGUCCAAGCCACACACCAAAGAGAUCUUAGAGAGAUAUCUAGGUAAUUUUAUAUGUAUAUUCACAAAUGAUAUAGAAAAUGUAGCGAUUCAUUUGACCAAGGUCAUCUGUUUAAAGGAUGUCAUGUUCUAUUUUCGACUUAUCUCAGGAUGAAAACUCAACAGACUCGGUCGCGAUAUAUAUGGUCUAAAUUAACCCUGGGAACGUGCCUAUUUUGAUGAUAUCUCUACCAGACAUGAUGUGAUUUUCCUAGCUUUUGAUUCUGAUUAGUUGCUUCGGUAAAUUCAGGUGGUGGAGGGAUCUGGGACUCAUGGAGCACGUGGACUUCACGAGGAAUCGGCUGGUCGAGAGUUUCUUGUGUGCCCUUGGACUCUCUCAGGAAACACGGCUCAGCUCGCUGGAAGAGUUGGAAUGCUUUAUACUGGUGAUCGACGAUGUCUACGACCUUUAUGGUUCGUUGGAAGAGUUGGAAUGCUUUACCAGCGCCAUUACCAGGUUGUCCACGAUGCCUCCCAAUCUCUUCCUUUCGUCUCUGUUCAGUUUAUUUUCGCUAACUGGAAAAUCUGAUGCUUCUAGAUGGGACUCGGAGCAGAUUCAACAGCUUCCCGAGUGCAUGAAGGUGUGUUUCCAAGCGCUUGACGAUGUUAUUCACGAGAUCGCUUAUGAUAUUGGCAAAGAUGAAGAUUGGCAUCGAGUGCUACCACAUCUUGCGAAAGCAGUAAGAGAAAACCAAAAUUUUUUUGUCCUUACAUAACUAAUCAUCUCUGAAUAAGUACUUUUUUUCCUUAUUUUUUCACAGUGGGCAGACUUUUGCAAAGCCUUACUUACUGAAGCAAAGUGGGACAAUAUGGGCUACACACCAUCGCUGGAAGAGUACUUGAGCAAUGCGUGGACGUCAUCUUCAGGACCACUGAUCAUGUCUCACGCUAGUUUCUCUGUGGGACAUAUGAAUUUGGAGGAUGUAGCAGAUUUGCUCGAGAGAAACAAGGAUCUGAUUUACAAUGUGUCCAUGAUAAUUCGACUCUGCAAUGACCUUGGAACGUCAACGGUAAUUAUCAAACUUCUCCGCCAAAGUUAUAUACCAACUGAAUUGGACAUGAUGUUAAGAAUUCUUAGCCUGUGAAAAGAAUCUUGUACUAACACGGCAUAUGGUGUAACUGAAUCAAGGAGAUCGAAUCCGAUAAGCACAUUAAAAUGAUUUACUUGUUCAAUUAGGCCGAAAGAGACAGAGGAGAUGCUCCAUCGUCAGUGGUGUGUUACAGGCGAGAAGCGAAUGUUCCGGAAGACGUCGCUAGGAAGCACAUCAAGGAAUUGAUAAACCAGGCAUGGAAAAGCAUCAAUGCUCAUUGCUUUGGCAAUUUCGAGACGCCCUUUGUCCGAACCUUCAUUGAUGCCACUGUGAACGCGGCUCGUGUUGCACAUAUGCUUUACCAGUUGGGAGAUGGUUUGGCGUCCAGGAUGGUGAUAUUAGGCGGCAAAUCUUAUCUGCAGUGAUCCACCCUGUCGCUCUUAACUGAGAUAAAGCGCAAAUGUAAUCACAUAGCAAGUGCAUAAGGUAGACUAGCUGCUGCCAGUCAAAAGAUUGAGUACUACACGCAAAUUGUAUCCUAAGCUGCAUAAUCAUCUACUUGGGUUUAAAAUGGUCAAAUAUCCGCAAGAUGUCCAUCUUACAACAUCGCACGUAGUAACUAUGUGCCUAUUCGGUCUGAUCCACAUGAAUCGCACUCUCAAAAGAGAUACUCGAGAUCAUAAUAAUCUGAUUGUUCUCAUCCGAUGCGACAUUGAAUGUUGUAAUGGCCAGUGGCGGUACAUUAUUUUCUCAGUAGAAUCGAAAUUAUGAUGAAACUUAUUCUAUUGAAUCAAGUUAAUUGCACGUAAAAAAAUAAUUGGACCGCAAUGGGUAUGGGAGAAUGAAUGCGUUUCUCAUAAUUUCUCAUCUUGUUAUAGGACGAUUUGCGAGGUUUUAUUGGGGGCAUCCGUUAUCCACUAACACGCAGCCUUAUCAUAUGUCAAUGCAUUUUCCCCUUGAAAGUUUGUCAUCUGGUCUCUGUCCAUAGAAAAUGCUUCUUCAAGUCAGUAGAUUUGAAUUUUAUGUCGUAUUGACAUGGUGAAAACGACAAAAUUUGCAACUUGCGUCAACUAAAAAUGUUAAGAAAUCAACCUCCGUCGUACUUGAAUUGAUUUUAAAGAGUAUCCUUUCCAUUAUAUUAUGACACCUAAUUUAUUGUGACCCAUUAAGAAUUCAUUGCGUAGAAAAAUUAGGGAUUGAUUUUGACCCCUAAAUAAAAAAUAAUAAUUAAAUUGCAUAUAGGUGUUAAGAGCAUUUUUAGCAUUAAACCCACAUAAACUGCAUUGAACUUGAAUUUCAAUCAUGCCCAUCAAAUUUCGUGAUGUGGCCGAAAAUUUCACAUGUGCAUUGCACAUAAGGUGUUGUUAACUAAGAGGGUUGGUUCUUUGAUCCAGAGGGCAUAUUCUUAAUAAUGAAAAGGGUAGACACCGCAAAUAUAUUCAAUAUCAGCUAAAUAUGUGUGAUUUUUUGCAAGAAAGGAGUAACGGGCGGAAAGAUAUGGCCACUCAUGGCAGAGAGAGAUUCACGGCCAGGUUAGAUGCAAUCAAGAGUGAAACAUGAUCAAGCCAAGUGUAUAGUCGGAAGGCAAAAUACAAAACGUAUGGAUGUGAUCUUUGGAAUGAGCAUAUUGGCCAUUAUUCAACCCAUAACCAAUUAGUGGCGGCUCUAAAAGGUAAGAAAAAUUGCAUAAUUAAAUCAAAUAUCAAGUUGUGCUUGAUAGGAUUUAGGAGAGCCCGUGCUAAGUACCAUGCUUAGUAAUCCAUUAAAUUUCUCUGGGUAGUUCAUCUCUAGAAAGGUUGUGACAUAUAUUAAACUUGAAGUUCAAUGAAAGGCCGUGUCGAUUUGACUCAACUUAGUCAUAAUUGUAGUUUCCUAUUUUUCAAAAAUACAAAUUUAUUAAUGUGUGUGGUAGGGACUUUAUCCCGAACUCAUCGCUUCGUGUUUGUCACUGUAAAUAUGACACGCCCGCACAAAUAAGAGAGACCAUACUUCUCUGUAAAUAAGACACGCCCACUACAACCAUGCUUCUUUGUUCCCUCCAUGUCCAUUUAUUUGUUAUGACCCAUGUUGUAAAAUUAAUGUGGAAAAUAUAGGAUUUUUCAAUUAAAUCAACAUGAAAGCAUCAAAGAAAUAAACGAGAACAAUAAAGGACAAUAAGUGGUUUGGUUCGAAUAUCAAUAUCUACUAUAUGGGAGCGUCAGUGAUAAAUAAUUCAUUAAUAAUUAGAGAAUCAAAGUUACAAUUACUUUUAUGCUCUUAAAAUAGAUCUAAAUUCACAGUAUUUAUAAAUAAGCAACUCAAUAUGGAUGUAAAGCUCAUGGCAAACAAAUCUUCGCGUUCUAACACAGCGGCCAAGAGAGAACUUCCCUAUGCGUCUCUUUUUAUACUUCAAGUCUUGACCAAAAAAUCUCAACAAGACCCACGAAGUCCAGCCUUUGUCUUGGUCAACCCUUUUUCUUGUAAAGGAAAAUUCCCAUUUUUUUUUGUGCCAUUUUCUUUAUGCCAUUUAGGGCGCAUUUGGUAAUGAUUCUAUUCUCGGGAGUAGAUUCUGAUCAGAAAUUAUUCUUUUUUAUUCUGUUCCCAAGAACAGAUUCUAAGCAUUUUAAGCCAUUUUGUAACUGUCUAAAAUUUCUGAUUCUGGAAUAAAAUUGUGUUUGGUACCGUGCUCAUUGAUUUUGUUCCAAAUCAAUUUUUUUGAAUUUUUAAUAAUUUUUUUACUUUUUACUUUUUUUCUUUUCUUUUUUCUUUUUUUUUUCUUUUCUUUUUUUCCUUUUUCUCCUAUUCUUCUUCUUCUUGUGGCUGGUCAUCGACGACCUCAUCGGAGCAUCGCCGGCCCUCGUCAACCGAGCCUCGCCGGUGGCCAGGCGGGCCUUGUCGGGGCUAGGCGAGGCUCGCCUGGCCACCGGUGGGACUGGGCGUCGCGAGGCUUACCCAGCCUCGUUGGUGGUCAUGCGGGGCUUGCUGGUGCUUGGCGAGACCCGCCUAGCCCUAGCAAGGCUCGUCCAGCCCCGCUGGUGGCCAAGCGGGCCUCGCCAGUGGCUGGGCUUGCCUCCAGCGAGCUCGCUGGACCUCGCCCUGGCCUGGCGAGCCUCCGGUGAGCUCACCGGACUGAUUGUCGGUGACGGGUGACGGCGGACGGUGGCGACCGCCGACGGCGGCGAACGGUGGCGAACGCCGGUCAUGGGAUGGCAUUCGAUGAAGAAGAAGAAAAGAGAAGAAGAAGAGUUGAUUUUGAUUUUCAGAUUUGUUCUAGGAACGAGAAUCAAUUUUUUUUUUUUUUAAUAUUGAUUCUAGUCCAAAUCUGUUCCCAGGAACAAAUUUGUGACAACUUGAAUUUUCAGAUUUCGUUUUCGAUUAAAUAAAGUGAGCCUUUCAUCGACGCGUCAAUAGUGCUAUUCUCUGAGCUGAUCACUUACGAGAUAACUAGACUAUCCGGGGAAGCAAUUAAGGAAUCUAAAUGCAAUGGACUUGAGAAUUUGACUAGGAAUCAACUGCUCAACCGUGUUGAUCUGUAAGGGUCAUUAUGGCACCAUCAAAAAUUGAUCAGAGAUCGGAGAUAGGUCGAUUCGAGUGAGAUAUGUGAUUGGUACGUGGGUGAUUCCACUUAAUUGCAAAAUUCUCGUCGAACGACACUAGAUCGAUUUUUCAGUCAUUUCUGUACUUGGUGUCCGUAUUUAAAACCUCGAAAUAUUCACGACAACCGAGAGUCGCCGAUGUGUCGAAGAUGCACGUUAUGACUUGAGAUAAAUUGAUCACGAGUCAAUUGCACUAAAAAUUCCUGAAAGUUAUCUGGUAGACUAGGUCACACUAAAAGCGCGCCGGAAUAAAAUUAACCACGAAUUUGAAUCCAAUUUUAGAAAUUGAGAGUUCUGUCAUGUCACAAUCUAUUUUAGGAACGUCGACUCAUCCUCUGAAGAAUUUUCGGAGAUUCCGAGAUUUUUACGGAAAAAUUGUUCCAACAUUGCGGAAAAUUAAUGAAAAUUCGUACAGGCCAAAUUAAAGGAAAUUUGGACUUCCAAGCCAAGCCUUUGGGUAUUGGGGACUUAUAGAAAAUUGUACGGGAUUUUUCUUCAGCGAAAUCGGACCCCGAUUUGGAGAAUCGGUGAAGAAAUUUAAGAGAAAUUGAGUGAAAUUCGGAUUUGGAAAAAGGGCAGCAAAUUUGGGCUUCAAAAUUUGGUUUAUUUGUGAAGAUAAUGCAAGAAAAUAUUAAGAGACAUAGGGAUAAGUUUGAGGGCUAAUUGGGGGAUCAUGCAUUUAAGAAUUUGGAUGAUCUUCAUUGACUUUGUCUUCUCUUCUUCAAAGGUUCCAUUUCACGCCUUGUCUGCCGCCGCCUCUCCCUCUACACAAGCUCCUGUCUUUGCUUCACUUUCACUCUCCUUCGCAUUUCAUUCCUUGAGCCACAAUUUCUCUUCAUUUUUGCCGACCACAUCAUCAUCAUCAUUUAUGCCAUCUCACAUCCAAAACUUCAUCCCUCUUCUCCACCAAAAGCCAACUCCAGCAGCUUCACGUUUGACGCCUCCUGCUGUUGCCACGUCCUGCAUCAAACCAACGCCAGCUGCUCCACUACUGAGUCAACCAGCAAAGCUGGUGUUGACCCCGUAAAUCCCACCAUUCUCCUUCAGUAGCUAGCUACACGAAGCCCUUACUGAAGCAGCUCACGCCGUCUUGCCUCAAACCAAAGCAGCUACCACGAAGACCGAGCAGUCCAGCAACUUCUUCAUUUCAUCCCUCCAUCCACCACUUCGCUUCUCUGCAACCGAAGACCCACGCUUCUCCGCCACGUUCCAGUCAAAAGCCAGCAUUCUCUCCACCAAGGUUGACCGAGACAACCCCACCGAUCCUCUUCCAUUUUCGAGUGGCCCAUCUUCGGUCUUCAUUCAGCCCAGCGAAUUUUCACCAACCCUAUUCAGCCGCUUGCAUUUCAGCCCAGCUUCCUCAACAUUGGAGAUCAGCCUAGCAAUUCAGCCCAUUCAAGUGCAGCUCAGGCCAGGUUCAGCAGCCCACAGAUCCAGCAAAUUUUCUGUCCAGCAUCUCCAUCAACUCCAGCCCAAAUCCAUAACAAAUCUCAGCUGGGGCUGAGAUUUGUUGGGCCAAGCUUAGGCCCGGUCCAAGCCCGUGGGUGUCGUCACGAGCCUAAGUUUGGCCACCGUCGCAUCGUCGUCGUGGUGAACCGAUUUCCGCAAUAAACUGGUGAGUUUAUGCACUAAACUCUUUUUAAUUUAAUUAUAAAUUAGGUGGUUAGUUAGAUUAAAUUAGUGAUUUAAUUAGUUAAUUGUGCAUGUUAGGUGGUUAGAUUAAAUUAAUCAAAGCCUAGAUAGGAGGUGCUAUUUAUCUAGAAGGGUUCGGGAAUUUUCUGGGCCCGUAUCAGUAUUUAAUUUAGUGAUUCUGGCCUAAGUUAGUAUUUUUAGAAUUUAAAUUGAUUUAUUUAAUUAAUUUCAGUAAUUAUUUAAUUAUUAAUUUUUUUUUUCCGGAAAUUAGGCUGGGGUAGCUGGUGACCGGAACUUCAUAUUGAUUGCAAUGGUAUGAUUAAUUUCUACAAUUGAAUGUUAAAUUGUGAAAAUUGAGUGCUGAUUGAAAAUUUGGUCAAUUAUUCCAAAAUUCGUGAAUUUUGGUAUUUAUUCAGAAAAUCCCAGGUGUUGGGUUUAAGCAUUGAAAAUGGUUUUAUAUACUAUAUAAACCAAUAGAAUUUUAAAAAGAAUGUCAUGAAUUUUCUAGGUCCAAUCGACCGUGUACCCACACAUGACUAUUUUCACCAAGUGUUUUUAAUACGAAGAAAAUAGGCCUGGAUCACUAUUUUAAUUGAGGCAUUUGAGUGCAAUGCACGGUGUCCUGAGCCGAGAUUGAUUGGUUGUAUGUUGAUUAAGAGAACCCGUCCCCGAUCUAUGUCGGAUUGACGUUACCCUUUAUGGGAUACCCAUUUAUUGGGAUUUGGGUCGCAGUAGAGGCUGGAUCUAUACUCCUUCGGGAAAGUCAUCUUUGAGAGACGUAACCAUGCCCAAUAGGGGUGAGACGAUGCUUGGCUAUGCCAGUAGAUCGCCAAACUUCUAGUAGGCUGUACCCUAGAGUGGGCGAAAUUAUCAAUUGGAACACAUGUUGAGUGGAAUAGAUGCGCCGGAUUAUGGAACAAAAUUGUGUGAUAUGGUAUGAGACGUGUCAUAACGAUUUGGCCCUAUAAUCUGGACCUCUGUGAUUUAUUGAGUUGAGUAGUGCGUUUCAAUUGUUGUGUGCAUCGAUUUUAUGCAUAAGGUGUAUAAAUUGUGCUGACUUGCAGGGUGUAACUGAGGCGAGGUAAGUCCUCUAUGCUAAAUGCGUGGUUAUGUGGUUAGGAUGCCUCUGGGCGUAUUUCCCUCCUAAUUGGGGUUUAGAGCGUGAACUCGCUGAGAUUUAUAUCUCACCUCGUUGUGGGCCAAAUUUUCAAGGUCAUUGAGUGGAGGACCUGGAGCCGAGAGAAGGUGAUCGGAAGUGUAGGUUAGCUAGGACCAUCUGUGACAUUCCAGAUUUUCGACCCUGUUUUCUACUGAAUCAAUCGGGCAUUUCAUUGAUGCGUCUAUAGGGUUGUUCUCAAAGUUGAUCACUCUCGAGAUAACUAGACUAUUCGGGGAAACCAUUAAGGAUUUUAAGGCAAAUAGACUUGAGAAUUCGACCAGGAAUCGGCUGCUCGACCGUGCUCAUCUGUCGAGACCAUUACGGCACAUAUAUAAAUCAAUUUGAGAUCAGAUAUAGGUUCAUUCAAUUGAGAUAUGUGGCUAAUCGUGGGUGACACCACUAAAUUGGAAAAUUCUCGUCGACCAACACUAGACUGAAUUCUCUAUCUUUUUGGUACCCUGUGUCCGUAUUUGAAUUCUCGAGAUUUUUACGACAAUCAAGAGUUGUCAAUGUGUCGAGUGGGUUCAUUGUGGUUCGAAGAAAAUCGACCACGGGUCAUUUGCACUAAAAAGUUUUGAAAACUACCCGGUAGUCUAGGUCACACUAAAAAUGCGUCGAAUGGAAAUUAACCGUGAAUUCGAGCCCGAUUUCAGAAAUUUAAAGUUCUGUAGUGUCACGAGCUAUUUUAGGAACGUCGACUUAUCCUCCGAAGAUUUUUCAGAGAUUCCGAGAUUUUUACGGAAAAUCGUUCGGGCGUCGUGGAAAAUUUACAGAAAUUAGUAUUGACCGAAUUUAAGUGAGUUUGGACUUUCCAGCUAAGCCUUUGGGUGUCGGGGACUCACAGAAAACUUUACGGGAUUGAUCUUCGUUGAAAUUGGAUUGAUUUGGAGAUUUGAGUGAGGAAUUGAAGUUAAUAUCGGUGAAAUUCGGAUUAAGGCAAGGGCAGCAAUUUUGGACUUCAAUUUGGUUUAUUUGUGAAUAUUAAGGUUGGAAAGAAAUGGGGGACAAACAAUAAAUGGGAUGGCUAAGGCUUGAUGAUUGUUUGGAUAAGGGCUUGACUUUUUGCUCCCCCUCUCCUCUCUUUCCUCUCUCGAAUGCAUGCUUUUCUCCACCUGCUCCUGCCGAUCUUUUCAUUUGCCUUCCCUCGAGCCAUCCCACUUUCUUCUUCACGUGCAGACUUAUCCCCCACAAGCUUUCACCCUCACGCCCACCAAUUUCUCCAGUUACUCUCUUCUUCAACCCGUGAGACUGCAACUCACGAACCAAGCGUGCUUCAGCCAUGAUUUGUUUUCACGCCGCCAGCUCUUGGUCAACAAACUAGCUGUAAAAUCCACUGAAGUUGCAUCUUUGACCACCGAAUCCUCUCCAUCUCUCGGGUUUUUGGAUCGCCACACACAGCACCGAGGACAGCCCAGCCACAACUAAAGAAGCUGCCACACGUCCUUCCCAGCGGCGACCGAAACCACGCGUCCUCACUGGUCAACCGAAGCCGCCCCCUUUGCCGGUUUGUUGACCCAGUUCCUUCGUCCUCUCCAGCGUUGAUUUUUGAGCUCGCUCGGCAGCAACAAUCGAACUGCUUCUUCGUGCAUCCCACUCGCUUGGCCAACUCCAGCAGCUUCGGCCAUUUGUCCGCGUGCUCCCAUCUUCUGUAACAACACACGCCAACCCACUUCUCGCUUCUACGAGACGUCCCCAAACAGCUCGAGCAAAAACAGCGUCGUCCGCAGCUCGAUGCCAACAAAUCCAACGCCUACAGCUUCAGCGUCUUCGUCUCUUUCUUCGCCAGCUCGUGGAUCGGCCCUGCAAUUGAAGCCACGGCAACUCCAGUCCACAAAGCAGGCCCGUGAAUCCAGUCAGUCUGCGGCCCAUGUGAGACUCUGCCCAGCUCCUUCGUGAGUUCAGCCGCAAGCCCAUUGGAAGCCCAUGAUUUCAGCAGUCUUCGGCCCAGCAGAUUCUUUUCUGGUUCAAGCCCAUUCACAGCAAGCUUCAGUCCAUUUGAAGCCCAUGUUCAGUCUUGAUUCAAGCCCAGUCUAGUGAAGUCCAGCAAGUUCUUUUGAAGCCCAAGCCCGCGAGGCAAGAUCUUUGGGCCCGGCCCGAGUGUCCGUUGACACCGCCGAAAGUUCGGAUUUCGGCCGCCGUCGCGAUGUUCCGAUCUUCGCUUUGCUCAAGUAAGUUUUACUCACUAAUGCUUUCUUAGUUUGCUAAUUAUGCUUAGGGGUUGGUUAGAUUUAAUUAAAUGCAAUUAGGUGGUUAGAUUAGUCUAGAACAAUUAAAUUAGUGACUUAAUGAUGCAUGUUAGGUGGUUAGACUUAGUCAUUAGCAAGUAGAGAGCUUCUAAUAUUUAUUGAAUGUAUCUCGGGAUUUUUCCUGAUUCGUUCUGGCGUCCAAUCAGGCAAUACGGGCCUAAAUUGGAUUUUUAGUAUUUAUUUAUUUAUUUAUUCGAAAUUAAUUAAUUAAAUAAUUAAUUUCCGGAAAUUCAACCGGGAUGGUUGGUGACCGGAAUUUUAUGCUGAUUGUCAUGGUGCAUUCCAUUUAUUUAAUUAAGCUUUAUUUUGUGCGAAAAUGAUUUAUUUGUGAAUUUAGGAUUUAUUCCCUAAUUUAAAUAAUCUUGGAAAAUUAAUUGGAAAUUAACCGGGCAUCAGUUAACGAUACCAAACAUGUUUUAGUGGACUACAGGAAAUGUGGGAGUUAUGGAAAGGAAAAUAUUAUAUUUUAGCUAAGACCGAUUGUGUACCCACACACGUCAUUUUAUCGGAAAGGAUAACAUUAGUUAUUUGAUUGUUUGCUUGAAAUGGCAUGUAUACCAGCUCGAUGACUCCACGGAGCAUCUUGAGACAGGACGGUAUGAUUACCGGCUCGAUGACUCUACGAAGUAUCUUGAGAUAGUACGGUAUGAUGAAUUGUGUGUAUACCGACUCGGCGACUUUAUAUGUCAUCUUAAGAUAGGACGGUAUGAUCUACCGGCUCGGUAACUCUACAGAUUAUCUUGAGACAGUACGGUAUGAUAUACCGGCUCGAUAAUCCUACAGAUCAUCUUGAGACAGUACGGUAUGAUAUACCGGCUCGAUAAUCCUACAGAUCAUCUUGAGACAGUACGGUAUGAUUUGAUAGCUCGAUGACUCUAUAUGUCGUCUGGAGAUAAGAUAACAUACUAUCUAUAUAUCACCUAGGGUGAGUAGUCUUAGAUAUUGAUCAGACUUAUAGAAAGUAUGGAAGGGGUCGAUCAAGAGAUAAUUUGGAUGACAUGUAAUCGACUAGGUCGAUUGAUCGAUAAUUCGAUCUGAUUGGGUGAGGUGAUGUGAUGAUGUAUAUUUGAUAUAUAUACUAACUUGCAGGAAUGAGCUGAGGCCAAGGUAAGUCCUCUGACUCGUGAUGUGCUUAGGUAGCCUAAGGUGUAUUGGUUUACUAAUCGAGUCUUAGGGGGUAGAACUUGCUGAGACGUGGUCUCAUUGGUUAUUGAAUAACCAUUUCAAGACCCUGAGGAGAAGCUGAGGAAGAGGAACCUGAAGAGGAGAAAGACGUUUAAAGAAGAAGAUGGUCCAGAAAUGGAUCUUGAGUAUAACCCGGAUGUAGAUUGAGAUCCCAUCCCUUUUGUGAACCUUGUCUUAGUAUAGAUAGGUGUGAGACUUGUUUGCUGUAAAUAGUAUCGUAAAUAUACUAUAAGUUGUGUUAUUAAUAAAAAUGUAGUUGUGAAUUUCAGUACUUAAAAAUAUGGCCUGCUUUUCUAUCCCAUUGUUUUAUUGUCUGGGGAUUUAUAACUGCUUCUGCAUGCGUAAUUAAUAAAAGAAAGGGUCGGCGAUACUUAGUCCUGGAAUAUCGCACUUUAAAAUCGACCAAGUAGAAGGAUGGGUGCAUCUCCGAAGAUCGGGGUAUGACACCAUCUCUUUUUGGAAAGUAAGUUUUUGUAGUCUUUUGGUCAUAGACAUUGUACAUGACUAUGUGAAUAUAAAAACAUGUUUGUUUGUGAAUAUGUUGUCCUGCUUUUCUAUCCCGAGAUGGUUACUGCCAAGACAUUUAUUUUAGCUUCCACAUGUGCAAUAAAACGAAAAGAGUCGGCAACUCGUCUUGGAAAGUCGCAAAAUUUUAUCGACCAGAGAGGGAUGGGCACAUGCUCGAGGUUCGGAGCGUGACAAAUUUGUUCCCGGAAACAAAAAUUUUACCAAACGCAAUUCUGUUCCAAAACUACUCCUGAAAACAAAAAAUCAGAAUCGGGUACUAUUUGGCAUAUUGCCAAACAACCCCUUAAUACACUCUUGCAACGGGGAGAUUCUAAAACCGUUUUGAGAUUUUUUUUCCUCAACAAAUUCAGUUUAUCAUAUGGAUUGGAUCCUCCAAUCGGAUCGAAUAUCAUAUAGGGCUCAAACUCGAUAUGUUUUUUAAUAACUCCUUAGGUCAUAAUGGACUUUUGACCAAGCAUAAAAGUCAGAAUCUCCAACCUCUUUCUCUAUUCCCACUGACCUCCCCAUAUCGAGUUACUUAGUCCAACUCUUCACUUAUUUCCCUCGUGGGAAAAUCCCAAAAGUCCUAUCUUUUUCAUAUGCAAUUUUUUUUUCCGAGAAGCAGUGUAGUUUUAUCUCUAAAGGUGUUUAUGGCUUGCAGUCUUCUUCUCCAACAAUUUUUAAGUAUGUUGCAUUCAUGAAGUAGAUGUCAAUGGCCUUGAGACUGACUAGGUAAUUACUUGUUCUAGCUUUGUGGUUUAUUAAUUUCUAAUUUGGUGCAAUACAUCUUUAGCACAUGCUAAUUUCAGACAAAUGAAGGGAAAAGGGAAUUUUGCCAAAUUGCUUAAACAGGCUCAACUCGCUCGACUUGUUAAGAGUGAUUGAUUUCUGGGUGAGUUGGUCCUGACCUAGAACCACGAAUUGAUCCUAUGGCUCUCAGUUCCAAAUUUUUAGAAGCGAGUCAGUUUGGAGGGUUUUAGAAUCAAGAAUGGGGAUAAAAUACAACGAUUCGAAACUAUAUUUUAUGUUUUUUUAAAUAAUUUAUUAAUUUAACCAAAUAAUUAAAAGAAAGAUAUCUCAUUACUUUUUUGAGUCUUAGUGGGACAAAAAAACAUUUUCCCCAGGCAAGUGUGCAGAGAGGGAACUAAUACACACCACAAAGAAAAUAUUUUUGGCGGCUUUCCUUUUCUUUUUAUUAUUAAAACACCCACAUCUCACUCUCUCCAUUUCUCUCUACUUUCUCUCUCACCUGCAUUAAGCACCCAGUGGUUCCUCCAUUAAUGAACCUCUUUCAUCUUUCUCUUUCACCCUCAGUUUCCACAUGAUGAGCUGUCAUGCCCUGAUCCUCAAGCGUGUGCCCAUCCCUCACUGGUCGAUUUAACAGCGAUGUCCUAGGACGCAUCGCUGACCCAUUCAUUUUAAUAUAUACACGCGAAAGCAGAUAUAAAUCCCCAAAUAAUAAAAUAAUAGGAUAGGAAAGCAGGGCCAUAAAAUUUCAAACCACACAACCACGCUUAUAUACAUACAUACAUAGAAGACUAUGUCAUAUAUUAUACAAGUUGGUCUAGGUAUAUAAAAACAUAUACAUUACGGUAGGUUCUCAAACAGGGGCGGGGGGUCUAAUAACCAUAACUAUUCAUCAUCGCUAAAUUCUUCCUCCUCCACCUCCUCAUCCUCAUCAAUCUCCCCUUCUUCCUUGAUCUAGUUAGUGGCUUCGGCUGAGUAUACCGGAGAUUCAUAAUCACCUUCAAGUUUGGGAUCCUUAGCAUCCACUAUUGAUACUCCCCUCAGGAUCUACUGUGCCCUUCCCGAGCGCAACCUCCAAGACAUACUGAGGUACAUCAGAUUCCAGCACAAGAUUCUCCCUUCGCCCGUCAUGAUAGUGACCAUACCAUGAUCGGUAUUUAUGAGGCACCUUUUUAGGUUCACCCACGUCGACCCAGACGGUGGAUUUCACCAUUACAUACUCCAAUCCUUCAGGGUGAGGGUGUAUCGAAAUAUGAUAGCCUACUUCUAUGACUUCCUUCGGCAUACCAAAAUGCACGGGAAGAGGGGGAGAUGCUGCCAGCUAGGGACCUGAAAUAUUGUCCCACAACGAGGUGAGACUACGUCUCAGCAAGUUCUACCUCCUAAGACCUGAUUAGGAAGUCAAUAUGCCCUAAGGGCUGUCUAAGCACAACCUGAUCAGAUCGAAUUAUCGAUCAAUCGACUCAUCGAUUACAUGUCACCACAAUCUUCCUCUAGUCGGUACAUUCAAUACUAUCUAUAAAGUCCUAUUAAUUCAGGAUUACUCACCCAAAGCUGAAAAUAGAUAGUAUAGCUCGCUCAAAGCUGAUAAUAUAAUAUAUUGUAUAUAUGCUCACCCAAAACUAAUAGAUUAAGGCCCUCAGGCCAUCAUAGUAUACUAUAUAUGCUCGCCCAAAGCUGAUAAUAAGGUAUACUGUUUACCCAAAGUUGGCAUAUCGCUCGUAGGCUAAUAUAAUAUACCGGUAUACUGCUCGCCCAAAACUAACGUAUCGCCCAUAGGUCGAUAUAGUAUACCACUCCAAUCAUAUAGUCAAUUCAUCAUUUUUAUCAUACCCGAUAAAAAUAGCCGUGUGUGAGUACAUGGUCGACUUUAGUAAAAAUAUUAUAAUUUCACUUCCACAAUUCCCACUAUUUUAUAUAGUCUACCAAAAUAUUUGUGGCGUUGUAAACCAACGCUCGGUUAAUUUUCAAUCAAUUACUGAAAUAAUUAAUUUAGGAAUAAAAUCUUAAAAUCACAAUUAAAUCAAUUCAGUCCAAUUUAGAACUUAAAUAAAUAAAAAGACUACACAAUAAUCAGCAUAAAAUUUUUGUCGUCAACUAUCCUAGUAUAAUUUUCGGAAAAUAAAUAAAUAAUUAAAUAAUUACGGAAAAUAAUAAAUAAAUGCAAUAAAUCCAACUUAGGCCCAUUAUAGCUAAUUGGAAGCCGAAAUGGACCCGAAAAAAUUCAAAGGUUUGUUCAAUAAAUAAUAGCAUGAGUCUACUUACUAAUGUCACUAACUAACCACCUAACAUGCAUCGGCAGAUAAUUAAAUUAACUAAUCUAAUCUAAUCUAUCCACCUAAACCAUCAUUAAUUAAUCUAAUCAACCUCUAAGCAUAAUUAACCGAUUAAGCGGUGACUAGUGAGUUCAACUCACUUGAUUUGCGAUCCGUCCGGUUCAAAACGUCGGGAACGCAACAGGGAUUGGCUUUUUCCAUAAUGGGCCGAACUUUCGAGGCUCGGAACCACCUCAAAAUGGGCCUACAAGCUUGCUGGAAAUCCAUAAAAACGCUCUCCGUUUUAGCUGCAAAACAGAGGAAACAAAGCUGGUUCGGUGAGGUAAAGGCAACGGUGGACCGGUGGGGGCUUUGGUGGCUUGGAAGGGCGGUGGCAGUGCUCACGGUGGCAGCAAGAGCUCCGGCAGUGGUCCACGAGCUUCGAAGGACAACAAGCAAGGCUGGAACGCACACGGGCUAGGCGGUGGCGCGUGCGGCACGCAAAUGGGGGCGGUAGUGAACGAUGGCUAGCGGUAGCUUUCCGACGUGCGACGGCAGCUUUGACGGCGUGAGGCUGCUCCUGGCUUGCUGCUGGCGUUCGAACUGGCUAGGAGGAGGGGAAUGGAGUCCUGGUCGGCAGCCUUGGAGAGGAAGAAGGAGAUGAGGGGGACAAGGGGUCCACUUGGCCGAUUUCUUCUCUUCCAUGGUCUCCUUGACCAUUCCCAGCUAACAGCUCCUCCUUAGCUACAAUUCAGCCACCCAUGCCCAUUCUACAACUCUUGAAUUGGUCCAAAAUGGUUAGGCAAAGGGGGGCAUACGAAUUUGACACAAAUUUCUCUCAAUUGGACACCCAUUCGUGCUUAAUUCAAUCCAAUUCGGCAUCAACAAAUCCCGUUGUCGAGUCCUCGACCAAAUCAAUAUUUUUCCUCACAAGUAUAACUCACUUGCUUCCCAAAUUUGCGAUAAAAAACGAUUUUAAGCAUGAUUUAAGUUACCGGGUAGGUUUUAGAAAUUUUUAGUACAAAUGACUCAUGGUCGAUUUUCUUCGAGCCAUUAUGAACCCACUCGACACAUUGUCGACUCUCGGUUGUGUGAAAAUCUCAAGGAUUCAAAUACGGACAUAGGGUACCAAAAUGAUAGAAAAAUCAGUCUAGUGUCAACCGACGAGAAUUUUCCAAUUUAGUGGUGUCACCCACGAUUAGCCACACAUCUUAGUUGAGUCGACCUAUCUUUGAUCUCAAAUCGAUUUUUAACUAUGUUGCAAUGGCCUCUAAAGAUGAGCACGAUUGAGAAGCCGAUUCCUAGUCGAAUUCUCAAGUUUAUCGCAUUAAAAUUGCUUAAUGGAUUCCUUAGAUAGUCUAGUUAUCUCGAGAGUGAUCAACUCUGAGAACAGCCCUAUUGGCGCGUCGACGAAAUACCCGAUUUAUUCAAUAGAAAACAUGAUUGAAAAUCUGAGAUGUCACAUGAGCUUUACUUUCAUCUAACUUCAAUGUUAUGGUGACUUUACUUUCGCCUAGCUUGGCUAUGUGCAUGAGACCUUGGUGGUGGUUGCAUGAGAGAGGGAGGUGAGCAUGCCAAACGCAAGAAAGGGAGGCAAGGGCCGUUGAUUGUCGAGCGUGAGAAAGGGUGGUGGGAAGCUGAGGUAUAAAAGAAAGAGAAAGAGCUCUAAUUUUUAUUGAGAUUAACAUUUGGCAAGUUUCGUUGGUUUGGUUCAAUUCAGCAUGAGGAACUGGGAAUCGGGUUGGUAUUGGGUUGGAUUAGACCAAUGCACACUCCUAGGUCUUGUGUGGGCUUAACCUUGAAAGUUCAGCAAGUUCAGGGCCCAAAUUCAAUGUGGGAUCACAUAUUGGGCCAAUUCAAUGCAAUUCAAUGGAAACACAUUAUUCACAAAUAAAAAUGUUCCAAAUUUUUAAAUAUAUAUGAAUAUAUUAGAGAAUGAAAAUGUAAGACAAUGCAAAAAGUGAUGGGGCAGCGCUAUUUCCAUCCUCAUUUUGGUUAAGAAACUAUUUUUUUUUCAAUUAACCAGCCAAAUUAACCUUCUUUUUCUCUUCAAUUUACUGUUUUUUUUUAUCAUGCUAAUAAAAAAAAAAACUGCAUUUAUCUCUGUCAUCUCUCUCAUCAAUUUCUUAAUAUAAAUGUCCAAUUACAUCCAACAAGAUAUCAUAUUAUCUUAUAUCCUAUUAUCACUUUGUCUAGAGAAGAUUGUUAAUUUUAAUUCACAGUCUCAUAUUUAAUUCACAAAAGCCACAUAGAAGAUGUUAAAUUUAUAUUUCUAAUGACUUAUGAAUACACAAUUAAUUGCUUAUUUUUAAUCAAAUAGUUUGAGAAAACCUUUGUUUCAAAGUUGAGAAUUAAAAUUCAAUCUAAAUAUCUAGCUGAUCUUGUCCUUGUGGCUGUUUUUCCGGAAUAAUAUCUUCUAAAGUUAAACUUUGUUUAUUUUGUGCUUUCUUUUGAGUUUUUCACAUUUUAAUCUAAAUUGCAAGAUGGAGGUUGAAAGUCUUGUUACACAUUCUUCACUUUCAAACUCACAUUAGAUUAUUUAAGAGAAAAGUUUUAAUCAUAUUUUAUACUUUUGAUCCACUUGUUUUGAGAUUGAAUCUACAAUCUGUAAUAUUUGGCUGGUGGGCUCAAAAGAAGAAAACAAAAGAAGGGUUGAAAGGUCAAAAGAAAAAAAAAAAAAAGAAAGGAAAGGGAAAAAGGGGUGAGCAGUGGUUGCUCACUUUAAAGAGCCGAACCGCCUUGGGAGAAAGAGAAAAGAAAGGAAAGAAAGAGAAAAGCACAAGAAGAAGAAGAAAGAAGGAAAAAAAAAAAGGGAAGAAAGGAAAGGGAUUUUGGUACGUGCAUGCUGCAAAUACCUCACCAAGCUGACUUGACUCCAUAACGCAGUGCUUGGUAAAGAUUAGGCCCCUCGUUCGUCCAAUAGAAGAAAUUUACGGGUUCAGAGCUCAAAUUCAGAAAUUUUGGAAAAUCAAGCGGCGAAAUCUGAUUUUGGAGUUGUUGAGCCACAUAUUUUCAUAGAAAUCAUAGUUUAGGAUGUCGUGGAGCAAUAGGAUAUUACGGAUCAUGAUUUGAGCUUAUGGUUUGUUCAAAACAAAAUUUCGAAAUUUCUCGCGCACAGUGAACAGUAAGCGUCCAGCAGUUUCAGGCCCAUAUUUUGUCAUUUUUCGGCUUGAUUUUGGGACGGUCAAGUUGAGAUUCUUAUAGUAUGUUUGAAGGACUUUCUUUUGACUAUAAAUAUGUUCGGAAUGGGGUUCGGAGGAGGAAGUUAUUGUGUAACUAAGUUUUGCACUUAAACUCCGUGUUACGAACAACUUGAACAAUCACUUUGUUAUGUGAUUUGUUAGCGCGUAGGAGUCCUUUUGUUAGAGUUAAGGUAUAAUUUAGUCAUUUUGUAGUUGAGAUAGAGUUUUAUUUGAUUUUAACAUUAUUCCUCGGUUAUCUGAUAGGGUCGUGAGUUGGACGGUACAAGUAUCGUUUGUCAUUUGGUCAUAAAAAAUGAGUGGUACUAUAUCUUCUUUAGUUUUGUAAAACCAUGUCUUGAAGUAUAUAUGUAUAUGUCUAUUGAAUUGAGGAGCAUUCUUAUUGCAUAAAAGCUGGAUCGAGCAUUUGCUACUAUUGGAAGUGCUAUUUUUGGGUAUGGUUUAAGGAAAUGGUGUAUAUAGUUAUUGCUAGUGGUUGGAUUAGCUGAAUUCUAAUUGUAUAUAUAUAUAUUUUUUGGUGGAGUAUAGAAACUCUAAUAUUGCAACCAACUUGUUGAUUUAUUUGAUAUGUAUAUAUAUGGUUUGAGAUAUAUAUAUUAUAUAUAUGUUGAUAUUAGGUUGUUGGUUGUAUUUAAGGUUGCAUCCUUCGUGUGGAAGGACAUCUGAGUUAUCCCCAUUCUUUGUAGUUUUGGGGUGUGACACAAUUGAUAUUAAUUACUUUCUUUAUUGUCGGAGUCAAACGACAAGAAAUUCCUUUCAUUUUUUUUUCCUUUUUUGCUUAUCUUUUGUUAAUAUCUAGAUAUAAAUUAAUAUGUUUAACAUUUGAUCAUGCUUCUAAAAAUCAACCUUUUUCAUAUUUUGAUCAUUUUUUCUCUUCAAAAUUUGAUAAAAAAAAGUCAUAAACCUUUUGUUUUUGUAUCGAUUUAGUUCUAAACAUUUUUACGUUGUGCCAAUUCAGUUCUUUCCGGCCAAUUUUGGCCGGAUUUUGCUAAUUGCACGCUAACUGGCUAACGUGGCUUGAUCAGUGCUGACGUGGACAACUUUUAAUAAUAUAUUAAUAUUUUUUAUUUUUUUGACUUUUUAUCAUUUUUUUAUUUUUUAUUUUUUCUUUCUCUUUAUUUUUCUCCUCUUCUUCCUCCAGUCAAUCGUCGAACCUCGGCGACCGGCCAGAGGUGACAAUCGGCCACCUCGCUAGUGGCCGUGAGGGCGGCCUCGCACGAGGCGGCAAGAGGCUCGACCCUCGCCAGAUCCGGCGAGGGCGAGCCUCGCCUGCCUGACGUGAGGCCGCCCUCGAGGUCUGGGCGACGAGGCUCGCCCUCGUCAGAUCUAGCGACGAGUUGGGGUUCGAGUUGGACUUCAUCAACAGCUCGCUCUUCACCUUCUGCGAGCUCGUCUCCAGGGAGUCGUUCUUCUCUUCGAAGAAGGUGGGGUACCUCGCUGCGAGGUUGGAAUUCGCGGCGAAAGCGAAGUUGCCCCCGCCACCGUUGAGGCGAGUGGAGGAGCUCGAUGGCUCGAGUCGAGGCGAGCCCGAGGAGCGCCGUGAAGGAACUGGCCCUCUCUGGAGGCGGAGCCAUCAAGUGCUGGAGAUCCUCAGGGAGCAUCGACUCCAGUGCAGCAUCGGUUGAUCCAGCUAGGGUUAGAGCUGUUGACUCCAUCGGGAAUCGACUUCGGGAGCUGAUCGAAUCGAGCUGGCCUCCUCGCGCUGAGCUAGCGGGGCUCGCCCUCAUUGGCCAUGGGCGAAGCUCGACCCUCGCCAGAUCCGGCGAGGGCGAGCCUUGCCGCCCCGGCCUCAAGGGCGGCCUUGCAACGCCGGCGAGGCUCGACCUCGCCAGAUCCGACGAGGGCGAGCCUCGCGGCCACUGGCGAGGUGGCCGGCGAGGUAGAGGUUGACCUCGCCGGCCGUCGCCUCUAGUCGGUUACCGAGGUCCAGUGACCUGCUGGAGGAAGAAGAGGAGAAAAAAAAAGAAUAAAGAAUAAAGAAUAAAGAAUAAAAAUAUUAAAAUAUUAAAAUAUUAAAAAUAUUAAAAAUAUUAUUAAAAUAUUAUUAAAAGUUGUCCACGUCAGCACCGAUUAGGCCACGUCAGCUGACCAGCGUCCAGUCAGCAAAAUCCAACCAAAAUUGGCCAGAAAUGACUGAAUUGGCCCCACGUAAAAAGGUUUAGAACUAAGUCAGCACCAAAAAAAAGGUUUAGGACUAAAUCGGCAUAAAGACAAAAAGGUUUAGGACUUUUUUGGCACUUUUCCCAUACUUUCUUUAUUGUAUGAGUCAAACGACAAGAAAUUCCUUUCAUUUUUUUUUCCUUUUUUGCCUAUCUUUUGUUAAUAGCUAGAUAUAAAUUAAUAUGUUUAACAUUUGAUCAUGCUUCUAAAAAUCAACCUUUUUCAUAUUUUGAUCAUUUUUUCUCUUCCAAAUUUGAUCAAGAUUGACUAGACAAUUAUAUUGAAUUUUAUUUUUGCACUUUGAAAUAUAGUUUCUCUCAAACUACUUUAUAAAUAAAAAGGCAAUUAAUUGUGUGUUCAUAAGCCGUCAAAACUAGAAAUUUCUAAUAUUUUAUGUGGCCUUUGUGGUUAAAAAUAUGCUACCGCCAAGUGAAAUUAACAACUUUUUUCUAGGCAAAGCGGAAUAUGAUGAUAUCUUGUUGGGUGUAAUUGGGCAUUUGUAUUAUGAAAUUGAUGAGAGAGAUGAUAGAAAGAAAGACAAUUUUGUUGGUUAGCUUAUAAAAAUCAAGAAAAAAUAAUUGAAUAGAAAGAAAGGGUCAGUUCUUGGUUCAAUUCGAUCUUAAACUUUUUAAUAAUGCUAAUUGAGUCCUUAACAUUUUCAUUAUUUCCAUUUUUUGUAGACAAUUGUUGACAUGGACGCUAAUUAUUUUACGUGGCACAUUUGAGGUCGAUGUUGAUAAUUUUUACAUUUUUUUUUUAAAUUUUGCAUUUUAAAUAAUUUUUUAUUUCAUUUUUCCUUUCCUUUUCGUUUUUCUUCUUCCUUCGCUAGUCACCAUGCCUUAGCAAUGGCUGGCGAUCAGCCACUGGUGAUACAUAAAUUUUAACUACUCAUUUAGUAAUAAAUUGUAUAGAAAAUUAGGGGUUAAACUUUAGCCCCUAAACAAAAUAGCAAAAGGGAGGGGGGUGCUGAGAGAAAGUGAACUUCGUUUUCAACCAAGCGUUGCCCGGCAAUCUCGCCACAAACUGACGACUUCUAGCUGACACCACGUUUGUGGCCUGCUCUUCCACAACGCCUAAAUUUCCAGUGAGGUUUCUCUGGGUUCGAUCCCCUUAUAUCUCAAGGAUACUGGCUUAGAGACAUUGAGGUGACUGACCAUAUCUCGAUUUGCUUUGGGUUUGCCUUCUAGCUGUCGUUGCUGAAAUGAGUAAGGACCCAUGGUCGAUCCCCUUUAGGUGCUUUCUUCUUCCCCCAACUCGGUCAACUGGGGCCGAGACUCGUCGGCGCCGGCUCAUACUUGAUUUAUAAGCUUGUUCGUGUGGGAAUUGGAUCUGCAGAAAUCAGAGGAAUGCUUGACCAGGAAGAGGGUGAAAGAAUUUAGAGUUUAGGAUUUAUCAACAUAAGAAGGCUCGACAAAUUUGAAGCUAAAUCCUAAACCAUCGAUUGUUUCGUGAAAGCAAUGUACGAGCGUCUACCAAGUUGAUGAACUGGUAGCUCCCAAAAUCUGAGUUCUGCUUGCGUAUACAUAGAAAGCACAAAAAUGAGAUCAAGUAGAAGUCCAGCUCUAUCUUUUCCAGAGGCCCCUCCUUUCAGUGCAUUCCUGCCUGAGAUCCAUACAAUCAACCAUAUUAUUUUGCAUCAGUCGACAUAGUUUGAAAAGGGUUUCGAACGUUUUUAGCACAUUUCAAUCUUUUAUGAGGUCCAGUGUCUUCUAAGUCCUAACGACAGUGCCGGACUCAUUCUUUCUCAUAAAUACUAAAGUGAUUAGCAGUCUAUAGAAGUACAAGCAGGGCCUUUGCGAGAUAGAAUGGUUCAGAAGAUUACAGGGAGCCCAUGAAGAUGACCAAUGAUGUUAUUCAAAGCCCAGCUUUCAGCUUUUGGGCCGACCACAAGCAAUCUUAUUGUGGAGCAAUGUAAAACCUACUAAAUCAAUGAUUGUCAUUCACAUAAUUCUAAUUCGAUUAGGUAAGAAAAAUUUCAAGAAUCAUCCUCCUAAAAAGCAGGAUAUAUCAUCCUACAAGUGCGAACCACGUGAAGGAUAGGGUAAAAUGACAAAUUAUAUUUGAAGUUUAUGUAAAUGAAUAAACGGGGCUGGCACGGGCCCAUGGCUUGGCGCCAUGCACGGGCCUGGCCCUAUGCACGGGCCUGGCUAUGCUUGAUCAACUAAAAGGGCAACAUGGGCAGGCGAUGGCUAAGAAUUCCAUUCAUGAACCGAGCCCUACCCACUUCAGGCUACCCAGGCCUGAUGAAUGUUAUGUAGAGUAUUGAAAAGCUUUUAAUCAUUGAGAUAUGAUAGGACGUCGUGUAGUGGGGGUGUCCAUUGGCCUAGUCCAAUUCGUGAAUUGGAUUAGACUGGGCCAUGGUUGGUUGGUUCUAGGUAGUUCAUGUGGGAAUUGGUUUGGUUUCUGAUUCUUAGAAAGGAAUUGGACUAAUUGAUCUGAACCAGCGAAACCGGUCCACAGUGUAUCAUUAAUUUUUUAUUCACUAAGGGAACAAAGUACAUGUUAUUUGUAGGAGUAAUUUUUUUAUUUACUCGUAACUUCCCAUGAUUACUAAUUUUACCCAACACUAUAGUAACUUUCAAUAUAUAUAUGAACUUUAGAAAGAAAGUAAAAAUUCUAAAAAAGUAACACCGUUAGUUCUUGGGACAGCUUGGGAACUACACAAAGGCUACCUGGUUUUUCAGGUGGAUAGGGUUGGUUCCUAGUUCCAUAGACUGAAAACUAAUCUUGUCUAGUUUGGUUCUCGAUUCUAGAGAGAGAUAACCUCUAUGGUGUAGGGAUUUUCAAGCAUUGUGCUACCUAUUGAUUAAGUCUUGUGUAGUUACUUUUUUUUUCCCCACAAAUUGCGUGGUUUGAAAGUUUAUGUAGAAAACAUCACAAAGCAUGUAAUGGAGAUUCAAAUCUUGUCGGCAAUUGAUUCUAUCAUUAGAUCUACUUGUCCAUCAUGAGCAAAUUAUUAAAAAGUCCUAAGCUUAUUGUACUUAUAUCAAUUUAGUGUUAAACAUUUUAAUUGCGUUAAUUGAGUCAUUAACAUUUUCAUUAUUCUCAGUUUGUGUAGACAAUUGCUGACAUGGAUGCUAAUUAUUUUACAUGGCACAAUUGACGUUGACGUUGACGUUGAUAAUUUUUACAAUUUUUUUUAAAUUUUAAAUUUUAAAUAAUAUUUUAUUUUUUUGGUCCUUUCUUUUUCGUUUUUCUUCUUCCUUCACUAGUUAGCAUGCCUUGGCAACGGCAGGCGAUCAGCCACUAUUGACACUCAUUUUAACUAUUCAUUUAAUAAUAAAUUGUAUAGAAAACUAGGGGUUAAACUUUAGCCCCUAAACAAAAUAGUAAAAAGGAAAGGAAGAGGGGGAUGGGCUGUGAGAAAGUGAAGUGAACUUUGUUUUCGGCUGAGUGUUGCUCGGCUAUCUCGCUGCAAACUGACGACUUCUAGUUGACACCAAGUCCGUAGCCUGCUCUUCCACAACGCCUAAAUUUCUAAUGAGUUUUCUUUGGGUUCGAUCCACUUAUAUCUCAAGGAUACUGGUUCGGAGACAUCGAGGUGACUGACCAUAUCUCGAUUCGCUUUGGGUUUGCCUUCUGGCUAUCGUUGCCGAACCGAGUCAAGACCCACGGCCGAUCCCUUUUAGUUGCUUUGUUCUUCCCCCAUCUCAGCCAACUGGGGCCGAGACUUGUCGGCGCCGGCGCAUACUUGAUUUUGAGCUUUGCAGAGUUGGGGUCGGUCACCGUGGCAUGUCGUUACCUACUCUGUGUUGAUUGUCGAUUUUGACCCUAGCUCUAAUCGACUCCAUCUCGCUUUUCCAGUUGGUGCCCGCCAUGUGUUUUUUGAAAUGCCACAAUGACACAUAGUUUUAGUUUCCUCAUUUUGGAUGAAAUCAAGUUGGCCGCACAUGGCCUCGUUUUGUCAAAGUGUUCCGGUGAUGUUUGGUGACCCUAGGCAUCGGCCAUUUAGUCGUUUGCCACAUGUUCCUACUUUUGCCAUUGUUUUGUGUCAAGAAUAUAAUGCGAAAACGCUAAUGGACUUUGCAAAUGAACUAAUGUGAAAUUACAAGAGAAAUAAACAAGAAAUAAUAAAGAUACCAGAGAUUUACAUGGUUCGGUCUGAGUAUUGGCACCUAUAUUUACAUAAAGAGUUAGAGCAAAUCGUAAUAAGAUAAUUACAGGACUAUAAUUGUUUACCUGCUCAAAUAUUUCCUAUGCCUAAAUUACAUCCAAAUUCACAUUGUACUCAAUUACAUAUAAGAUCAUAGUAUAAAAUCACUGCAUGUUCAAGCCCAAAAUCAAAACGCUCGUCUAUGGCUGGAAACAAGGUGCGUUCCUUUUCUUUCCCUUCGAGCAACCGUGGCUUCUUCAUUGUAGCUGUUCAGAACGGGGAGCCCACAGUCUUCUGUUUUCCUUUUUGCAUGCAUGCGGCUACUCAGGCAAAAGAAAUAAUAAGACCAAACCCUUGUAGGGACCAUUUUGCUCCCACAGGUGAAAUAGAUAUGAUAAAAUAAAGUUUCCCGACCCCAGUAGGUUAAUGGCAACUUGUUAUUUGAAAAUUCUCAUAGUAUCAGUUUGACUUGACAUCAAAUAUCUUAAUGUUGCACAAUGUAUGGGCCUGAGAAAAUCCGCACCUAAUUGAGGGUUGUAAGCCUGUUUUUUAGGCAAUUCCCUUAUACUUAUGUAAUUUCCGGUCUGGACAGAAAAGUUAAGUCGCGAUAACCACAGGAGAGAGCCAGCAAGGUUCUACCUCAGCCCAAACCCUGCUAGCUCGAGCUGCGAGCCUCAGGCGAGGCUCCACCUCUCUAGAUCAACUGAGGUCAAGCUUGCACACCCCAGCGAGCUCGAGCAUUGCCUUGCUUCGCUGGCCUCUGAUUCUGAAAGCUCAACCAACAGAUUCCCUCGUGCAUCACAUUCGCAUUUGGCUUACUGUGGACGCGUGACCCUAAGCUUCUGUGUGAAGACGUUCGAAUGGUGCAUCACUUUUGCAUUUGGCUCAUUAUAGACGCGUUGUCCUAAGCGUCUAGCGAAUACUUGAUCGAGAGACACUCAAAUGGCGCACAACGGGCCAUGUCGUGAAAAUCAUGGCAUGUCUCUUUCACACUCCUCAGAUGACUUCUCCGUGGCUGCUGCCUCCAAGUCAACAGGAGGACACGGUAGUGCUAACACUUCCAUGUAGUAGUCAGACUCAUUCCACUGAUGUUGCCAGCUUAUUUGGAAAGUUUUGAUGUCAUAUCUUAAAUGCUAAAAGUGAUGGGGAAAGAGAAGACGAAUGGAGGAGAGGACGAUGCGUAUUCUUUUAUUUGUUUCUUAUAUUUUGUUUGAUUCUCUAUAUCUCUUAGAAUUGUGUAUAUCCAUAAUUGAUUUUGAUAGAUAUUUUAUUACCCUGAUAUUUUAGAUAGUCUCAUCUAAUAAAACAUACAAUGCUUGUAUACGUUUUAUUGGAACACAUUGAAAUAUACAGAAAGUUCACAUUUCUCUUCUGCAUAUAAUUAAUUAAUUAUUUAUUUAUCUUGAUAUAAGAAUUGAGUGAUCUUGAGGAGGGAAAAGUGCCAAAAAAGUCCUAAACCUUUUACUAAUCUCGCAUCUCGUCAGUNNNNNNNNNNNNNNNNNNNNNNNNNNNNNNNNNNNNNNNNNNNNNNNNNNNNNNNNNNNNNNNNNNNNNNNNNNNNNNNNNNNNNNNNNNNNNNNNNNNNNNNNNNNNNNNNNNNNNNNNNUGGUGGUGACCUGGCGUCGUACACUGUGCGGCCUGUUGUUGGGAGUAGUCUUCGCCAGGUCUCAUGCUUUUACUUGCAAAAUAGCAACAGGAGAGACAGAAUAGCUUGCUCGUGAAAUCCCCAAGUCCUUGGAGAUAAGGCCUUUGGUCUGAAUGCAAAGUCAUCCCCUCAAGCCUCUUCCAAACGCUCCAUAAAUGUGGAAACAAAUAUGGAAAAGUAUACUAAACUAGUUUGACAACCUUAUCUUUUAAGAUCAGUGUAGAUUAGACAAGGUUAAGAUCGGUGCCAAAACGUACUGAAUCGAUCCAAACAAAAAAAUUCAGGUCUUUUUGGUUCGGAUAGCAAAUAGAAAAGUUUCUACCUUGAUUUGGUUUGGUUCGAUUUGGGUUGGGUUGGUUGCGGGUGAGCGUGGCCUUGCCCAUAUCUAGGAAGGGCCUUCAUGCCCUUGCCUGUGGUUAGCGAGGCCUUUGCGAGUUCAUCGUUCGCUAGUGAAGGCCCUUGCUUGCAAUUGGGGAUGACCUCAUUUGGGGCCUUCAUGGCCACACCAACCGAGGGUGAGGCCUUCGCAGCGGGCAAGCAACCCUCACCAGCAUUGAAAAAAAGCAAAAACAAAAGGAAAAGAAAUAUGCAAAAUAAAAAAUUCAAAAUAAAUAAAUAAAAUAUCAAGAAAUAAUUAAAAAAAACGAAGAAAUGUUAAAAAAAAUCCAUGUGGAAAGGAAAAUUGAUUAAAAAAAUCAACAUAGGAUGAUUUGCUCGAAAUGAUACUUAAAUAAUUAAUUUUACUUUGAUGUGGCAUUAAAGUGAGCGAAAAAUAAGUUAUGACACUCAAGUAAGAAUUGUAUGAAAGUUAUAGCACUCUUCCUAUUCUUAUUCUAGACAAAAUAUGAUUAGAGAGAGAGGGGACUUCUCUUGGGUUGAGAAUCAUUGUGCACCGUGCAGUGAAGCUGAAGAAGACAAGGGGAAAAAACCUAUAAAAAAGAGAAUUGACUAGAACUGUAACCGGUUUAGAUUCAGUUCUUGGGUCAGUUUGGGUCACGGUUUGCUUAAGUCCUUUGUAUUUGGUUCAGUUCGGGUAUCAUGGAUAUCAUAACCGAACUGAACCGUUCAGCCCUAGUUAAGACAUGGCUCAACUAAUUAAUCACCUUUUCUGAACAUGUUUAUUACCAAAAAAUUAAGAUAUUUAGUUUAUUAAAAACUUGGUUAGAUACAUGUGAAAUCCUCUAUGUGACUUUACCAUUUGUUAAAUAAGCAGUAACUGAAUUUUCGAGAUAGUGAACGCAAACUUAGGUUCCUACAAGGACCGACUGAAUAUGGAAACGAGAGUAUUGAAGUUUUACAAAGUUAAAUUUGUAAAGGGUUUUGCUAGUAUAAUAGUUUUUGGUCUACAUUGGGAAUAAUAAUUUAUUGUGAGUCACACAUUCUUGAAGGAAUGAACUCUAUAAUACUUGAUAAUUAUUUAUUAUUUGAUUUUUUUUAUGGUCCAUAAUAAAUUGUUAUUUUCACAAUAAAUUAUAUGUCCUUCUCUUGAAUGCUCGUUUGUAAACUUCUUCUAAUGCGACAUAAUCAAUAAAACUCGAAGCACGCGCUUAUGUCCUUCUCUUGAAUAGGCUUGGUUUCCGUUGAUCGACAUGUCAGGGGCCGGACUCUCUGCUUGUCCAAUGGAAAUCUCAGGGAAUUUCAGUACAUCAGGUUCUCAUUUGGCUUCUCAUGCAUGUACGGUUCGAAGUUUCAGAUCGACUGAUUGAGAAAGAGAUAUUCAAAUGGUGCACCGCGGAGCAAAGUGGAGUCACAUCAAGGAUAUGCCAAGUUCAUGAGGGCGUUAUUAGGGUGGUAAAAAAUCGGGAAAAGUACGAAAGUAAUCCUAAACCUUUUGUAUUGAUACCAAUUUAAUCCUAAAUUUUUUAAUUUGAUCAAUUUAGUCAUAAACAGUUUCACAUUGGUACUAAUUCAGUCCAUUUGGCAAAUUUAAGCUGGAAAAUGUUGACAUGGCAACCAGCGGUCUUAUGUGGCGCCACAUGGACAAAUAUUAUAAUUUUUUAUAUUUUUAUAUUUUUUUCCUUUUCUUCUCUUUUUUUUUUUCUUUUCUCAUUACCCUUGGUCGGCGAGGUUGCCGGCCGGCCGACCAUCACCGGCCACAAGCUAGUCGGGGCGAGGGGCCCCGCGCCCUCGCCGGCCAUAGGCGAGGGCGUUGGCCCCCGCCCAGAUCCAAACGAAGGCGUGGCAACGGGGCGUCUCGUUUCCUCUAGCUACGAAGCGUCUCUUCCUUCUCUCUCAAUCAAGCUCAACGGUACUCUCUCUCUCUCUCCUACCCGCACGCAUGCACACACGCUUCCUUCCAUGAGCAGUUGCGUCUUGCACGAGACAUGUUUGUGAGAAUGCCGACACGAGCUUCGACCACCACCGCUUCUUUCGCCGAUAGCUACAAGGCUUGAAAUCGCGGAGGGCCAUGCCCUCGCCUAGAUUUGGGCGAGGGCCGUCGCACCCUCGCCCGCCACGAGCGAGGGCUACCGCGCCCUCGCCUAGAUCUGGGCGAGGGCCGACGCCCUCGCCUGUGGCCGGCAAGGGCGUGGCAGCCCUCGCCAGUGGCCGGUGAGGGUGCGGGGCCCCUUGCCUCGACUAGCCUGUGGCCAGCGAUGGUCGGCCAGCCGGCGACCUCAUCGGCCAAGGGUAAAGAGAAAAGAGAAAAAAUAAAAAAGAAAAGAAAAGGAAAAAAAGAGAAAAAAAAGAAUUAAAAAAAUCUAAAAAUAUAUAUAAAAAAUUAUAAUAUUUGUCCACGUGGCGCCAUAUAAGAUCGCUAGUGGCCAUGUUAGUAUUCUUCGGCUUAAAUUAGCCGGAUGGACUGAAUUGGUACCAAUGUGAAAAAAUUUUAGGACUAAAUUGGUCAAAUUAAAAAGUUUAGGACUGAAUUGGUACUAAUACAAAAAGUUUAGGACUAUUUUGAUACUUUUCCCUAAAAUAUCUCGAUCUACUGUACUAGAAUCAGAUCAUCAGCUGAAUGUGGCCAUAUAAUGUGUGGCCUAGCAAUGCAAUGAAUCGGUAGGUCCCCUAACGUUUGUUCGUUUUCAGGCUGCUACAAUCGCUUAACCAUCAAUGAACAAGCAUCUUCUUGGAAGGGGUAACCCCGAUGCCCAUCGCAAUCCACCAUUGGAUCGGUGCGCAAGUGUUAGCGUGGUACAUGUCUCUCAUGCUCCGAGGAUGACUUUUCUACAAUAGUGCUCGUGCUCACAUGUGAGGCGCUAGCACUCCCACCUGACGCACGGGCUCAGUCCAACGUUAUUGGCAUGCUUUCGAGAUUGAAUGCAUAACCCAUUAAUUAUAAAAAUGAGCAUGUUUGCUUUCAUUGUUUAGAGUGUUAGUUUCCAUCGUACGCCCAAUUUUUUUUUUUUUUUCGUUGGGGGAAGGAACUUUGAGAAAUUUCAAAAGAAAUGAAAAUAGUUCCAUGUUUUGUGUCUUGGAAAUGUUUGAGAACAUAAAUUGACACCGUACCUCAAGUGCUGAAAUGAUAGGGAAAAAUGGAACACAAUGAAUGUAGAAUUGACACCUCCUUUUGAAUAAAGAGUGUGACGGAGAUGACACGUGAAUCGAUAAAUAAUAAAUCAUUCUUGUGAAAUAAAAUUUUUGAUGGGACGACCAUAUUAUUAUAUCCGAUCGAAAUUGAGCUUUUACUUGGAAUGCGGCAGUGCAUGCAACGGCCAUUCAUAAUCCCGUAAAUAGGUGAUAUUGCGGCCAUGUUUUGAUUACAGAGAAUUCCCAUUUGGGCGAUGCUUUAUCAACACUGCCCCAAAAGUCAAAACACAGAAACUCGUUUUAUAUCAUUACUAUUAUUAUUUUUUGCUAGGAAUUGUUUUAUAUCAUUAUUGGUAUGGAAAUGAUUGAGCUCUUGAAGUACGGGAUAAAAACUCUCUUACUAUUUGCUUUAAUUACGUACUUCUAGACUCGUUAAAAGGGUGGGUCGGAUUGGGUUUGGGUCAAGUCAUAAAAAGUCCGACCAAAAUAAAGCCAUUUAACCCGUUUAUAACUCAUUUAUUACAAUACAAAUUUUUUGACCUAUACCCAAUCUGACCUAUACUCGACUCAUACCCGACCCAUUUAACUAAACUUAAGAAAGCUUAUUUCUUAUAUAUAUUAAAAUGGUAUUGCUAAAAUAGUUUUAUACAACAUAAAUUUGAUGGACAUUUUUUAUAAUUUUUAAAAUAAUUAUUUUUAAAAAUCGAAUGUUAAUUAUUUUUAUUUUUUAAAUAUAACUUUUAAUUUUCUUUUCUUUUUCUUUUUUUUUUUCUUCUUCUUUGGCCCGGCCACAGGCGACCCUCGUAUGAGGUUAAAAGAGCAUAGACACCCGAGGAGGGUCUCCCAUUGUUGAAAAAUCACUAUCCACAUGUGACGUUGUCCCACGUACUUUUUAGUUCUAGGCAUUUAUUCAUCUUGUUUAUUUAGUAAGGUUUGACUAACCUUCUAGCCUUCUACGUUUAGCAUAAUUAAUUACAAGAGUUGUGCCAGAUUACCACUCUUCCUACGUGAAAAAGGGAAGGUCGGAAUUUCGAUUCCUUGACUUUUUAGAGGGGCCAGGAGUGGGUAUGUUUAAUUUUAAGUGCAGAGUUCGACUUCCACAUUCUACAAAAAGAUAGGGUAAAAUUCUGAGAGUGAGUUAAAAGUUAGAGUAUGAUAUAUAUAUAUAUAAGUUUAGCAUAAUCAACAAGCCAAAAAAAAAAAAACUCUUCAUUAAUUCCAUUAAUACACUGACUUGUUGUGAAGAAAAUCCAUAUAUAUGUGUGUAUGUGAAAGGUAGAUUCUGUUAUUUUUGUAUGAAAACAAAGUUCGAUUAAAGAUUUUGAUUAAUUCAGCUAAAGGGAACAUAGUCACGGAAAUCACAACAAAUUUGGUACUUAAUAUCAUAGAGUAAAGCAUAGAAACUAAUUUUUCAAAUCUUGUGGGAGGCAGGGAUCCUCCACUAGUUUUAUAUUGAAUCAUUCCAAGAAAUUAAUGACCGAACAAGUGCAAUUUGUUGCGAAAAGACAUGAGAUCAGACAAUAAUAAACUAGAAAAUUAAAAGGUAAACUAGACAUCGGAUUUACAUAAUUCUGGGGGUGUGAAUUACUCUAGGAAGUGAAGUAUCGGAUUUCAUUAUAGAUCUAGUGAAAGAAUGGAUAUUACAAACACAUUCAAGUUACUCAAACAUUUCUAGUAGCUUGUAUUCACAAUUAUUAAGGAAGAAAUUUCUCAAUAUUACAAAACAAUACACAAAAUUGAUAAAUGACAAAAAGGUUUCUUCAAUUUAGGUGCAAAGUGAACAAAACUCAUGAGAAUAAUUUUUCUACACAUUCUUGGCACAAACCAAGGCACAAAGCCAAAAAAAGAAAAGGAAAAAAACUAAUUAGAAAACUUAUAUUAAUCCCAUGAGACCGACUCCAAUACGAACUUGGGUUUCGUUCAAUGGUUUCAAUCUCAAGACAUAUUUAUCAACACAAACAAUGAUUAAUUGCGCACCCUGGUCAACAUGUACAGAUUGGGCACCCAUUUUAUUCCCGACUGAUUUCUCAAAAUCUGAUUUUUGGGCUAGACUUAUGUGGUUGCGUUUUGUUCGUAGAUUCCUCUAGCUUGGUUUGGCCUAACCCUGAACAAGCCCUCUAAGAUUUGGUUUCAAGAGAUAUUGUCGUGUUCUCAACGUAUGGCCGGAGACGGGACCCAAUCCCGAGGUUACUGUGCGGGGCUUGUCGUAAGGACCAAAUUAAAAAAGUUGCUCUCAAGCCCCAUCAACACUCCCCCUCGGACUCGCCUAUAUAAGUCGAAGGAUUGUGCUCAACAAUACUCACUCAUUCCAUCAUAGAACUUGUAGAAAUUUGCGAUCUCACAAAUCUUCUCAACUUUCGCUCACGCGUCAUGGAGUACGGAACACAACAAGCCCAGUUCAAACCAUGCCAAGCGAAUUUGCCCGAAGUCGUGGGCACGAUGCAUCAAAGAAGAACAGCCAAUUAUAAGCCUAACAUUUGGAAUUACGAUUUCCUGCAGUCGCUUAGCAGCAAACAUGACCUCGUAAGAUUGUAAUUUGUAGCUUCCGCACUAUCUUAUUGUUCUCUUUAACUCUAGCCAUCUCUUCCUUAUAUGAGCGAAUGGACAUUGGCAUGCAAUCGUGCAAUUAUUUGCACAUGAGACGCAUAUUGAUGUUUGAAGUAGUACUUUGCUCUAAAUUCAUUUGAAACAUUACAAUGCAUGUACCUAUUAAACGUAGCAAGCGAUGUUUUGGUCAGUGUUAUCAUAUGUAUCGGUCAUCACAUUCAGACUUGAUUUAUAGCUAUCAUAUGAUGUAACAAAACCAAUUCAUAUAGCUCUACAUAUGCAUGUACUAAAGUAAAAACAUCUAGGCAUUGCUCUAUAGAUUGAAUUAUUUGAGGCCUUUUAGGGGUAGAUUUUGAUCUAACAAAUAUGACUCAAUUCUGCAGAAAGAAGGAAUUAAGGAACGGAUGGAAGGGCUCGUGGAGGAAGUAAAGCGAAUUUUAUCGGAAGAAGUCGAUUCACUUGCCAAGUUAGAGUUAAUUGACAGCAUGACCAAACUGGGGUUGUCCAACCUUUUUGAAAAUGAAAUGAAAGAAGCUCUUGAAACAGUUGCAUCCAUCAACAAUGGUGUUUUCACCAUGGAAGAACAUCUCUAUGCCAGUGCACUUCGGUUUAGACUCCUUAGACAACAUGGCCAUAUCAUUUCGCAAAGUGAGUUCAAAAUAUGGACCUAUGUGAAUUUGUAGGUGUAAGAUGUUACUAUCAAAUCACCAAAAAAUAAAAUAAAAAAUCCUACAUACACUGAAGAUUACUAUACAAAAGUCGGUUCUUUUUAGAGAUAUUAUUGAAAAGUUGACACAUAUCGACUUCAAUAUCACUUGUUGAGAUUAUCAUUGAAUUUUUUAUUCAUCAUAUUGGAAAAGUCAUGCAACCCACAUACCUAUAUGGACUUGGGAUAUAUUUGGUUCAGCAUUUGAAGAAAGUCUUUAAGAAAAUACAAAAACUUUGAGGUUAAAGGAAUUUUUCGAAAUACAAGUACUGUUUGAUCAAUUGUAAUUUAAAAGUGCAUUGAGAAACAACUUUAGUUUAAACGAUAUUUGGAAAAGUCACACUUUGUAACUUACUUUUCUUUCUAAACUCAAAACCGGCCAAAGACUUAGCAGCCAGCGGGCAGCCGCCGAGGCCAAAUCUGGCUGUUGACGCUGGCAGCCCGUUGCGCGACCUGGAGAAAGGACAAAGAAAAUGUAAUUGUAGAUUAGACGGUGAGGAAAGUGUCGUCCCCAUAGUGGUAUGAUGAAAUUGGAUGCACAUAAGCCACUUAAAGCUCAUCGUCGUUAUUCACUCCUUUACGCUAAUAUUGAGUAUUAUCAUCAAUUAUUCUCGGUUCUGUCCGGUCAUAAAUCUAACUUUCAAUCUGUAAUGAGAUGAAUUAAGGAGCUUCAAAGAAGGAAGCAUCUUAUUCAAUAGAAGCAAUUGCGAAGAUGUUGAAGCUAUGAUAGAGCUUCUUGAGGCUUCACAUCUGGCUUUGGAAGGUGAAAACAUUUUGCAUGAAGCGAAAGCCUUCUCAACUGGUAUUCUUCGCAAGAGAGUCUCCAGUUUGGACGGUCGGCUCUUUAAACGCGCUGUACACGCUUUGGAGCUUCCGAUGCAUUGGAGGGUCCAGUGGUUCGACAUCAAAUGGCAAAUAAGCUUGUACGAGCAAAGGGAGGACAAGCAAAGCAAUCUGCUUGAGCUUGCCAAGCUAAAUUUCAACACGGUCCAAGCCGCACACCAAAGAGAUCUUAGAGAGAUAUCCAGGUAAUUUUAUGUGUAUUCAUAAAUGAUGUAGAAAAUGUAGUGAUUCACUUGACCAAGGUCAUCUAUUUAAAGGAUGUCAUGUUCUUUUUGCAACUCAUCUCAGGAUGAAAACAACAAACUCGGUCGUGAUAUAUAUAUGCUCUAAAUUCACCCUGGGAACGUGCCUAUUUUGAUGAUAUCUCUACCAGACAUUAUGUGAUUUUCCUAGCUUUUGAUUCUGAUUAGUUGCUUCGGUAAAUUCAGGUGGUGGAGGGAUCUGGGACUUAUGGAGCACGUGGACUUCACGAGGGAUCGGCUGGUCGAGAGUUUCUUGUGUGCCCUUGGACUCUCUCAGGAACCACGGUUCAGCUCGCUCCGCAAAUCUCUCACCAAAGUUGUCAUCUUGAUACUGGUGAUCGACGAUGUGUACGACCUUUAUGGUUCGUUGGAAGAGUUGGAAUGCUUUACCUGCGCCAUUACCAGGUUGUCCACGAUGCCUCCCAAUCUCUUCCUUUCGUCUCUGUUCAGUUUAUUUUCUCUAACUGGAAUAUCUAAUGCUUCUAGGCGGGACUCGGAACAGAUUCAACAACUUCCUGAGUGCAUGAAGGCGUGUUGUCGAGUGCUUAACGAUGUUAUUCACGAGAUCGCUUAUGUUAUUGGCAAAGAUGAAGAUUGGCAUCGAGUGCUACCACAUCUCGCGAAAGCCGUAAGAGAAAAACUUGUGGAUAAUUCCGUACAUAUGCACGUCACCCCAAAAAAAUUUUAUCCUUACAUAAUUGAUCAUCUCUGAAUAAGUAUUUUUUUUUCCUUAUUUUUUUACAGUGGGCAGAGUUUUGCAAAGCCUUACUUACUGAAGCAAAGUGGGACAAUAUGGGCUACACACCAUCGCUGGAAGAGUACUUGAGCAAUGCGUGGACAUCAUCUUCGGGACCACUGAUCAUGUCUCACGCUAGUUUCUUUGUGGGAGGGGGUGAAUUGGGAGGAUGUAGCAGAGGGUGCUGGAGAGAAACAAGGAUCUGAUUUAUAAUGUGUCCAUGAUAAUUAGACUCUGCAACGACCUUGGAACGUCGAGGGUAAUUAUCAAAUUUCUGCACUGAAGUUAUAAACCAACUGAAUUUGACAUGAUGUUAAGAAUUUGUAGCCUUCGAAAAAAACAUGGCAUAUGGUGUAAUUGAAUCAAGGAGAUCGAAUCUGAUAAGCACAUUAAAUUGAUUUACUUGUUCAAUUAGGCCGAAAGGGACAGAGGAGAUGCUCCAUCGUCGGUGGUGUGUUACAUGCGAGAAGCGAAUGUUCCGGAAGACAUCGCUAGGAAGCACAUCAAGGAAUUGAUAAACCAGGAAUGGAAAAGCAUCAAUGCUCAUUGCUACAGCAAUGCCGAGACGCCCUUUGUCCGAACCUUCAUUGAUGUCACCGUGAACGCGGCUCGCGUUGCGCAUAUGCUUUACCAGUUCGGAGAUGGGUUUGGCGUCCAGGACGGUGAUAUUAGGCGGCAAAUUUUAUCUGCAGUGAUCCACCCUCUCGCUCUUAACUGAGAUAGCGCAAGUGU